ACGGUGUCGUUUCGUAUCAAGAAGAGAAAAAGAAGAAGAGACGAAUGAAGAUGAAAGAGAUGAAGAAAUCGGCGGAAGAGGAGAAGAACGGACGGCCAAAAACCGAGUCGUGCGUCAGUGAAGCCGUGAAGAAAGAUUAGUCGUGCUCUCUCUCGGUUUUUUUUAGGGUUGAUUUAAAAAUUAAUUAAAAUUAAUUCCCAAAAAAAAUCGAAACACAGUGUCAAAAGGAGGCGUCGAACCCGUGACUUGAGAGGUUUUGGGCCGACUCAACCUUAUGGUCACUCAGGCCCUAAAAUAUCUACACGGAAGCAUCUGAUUAUUUGUCUUCCAUAAUCGCAAUUUAGAUCGAAAUCCUCUCGGCCAAAUCAGCCGCACCAAACCUCACGCGCCACCGCCAUGGCGAGUCCACCGACGCUACCUGUCUCCAAUCAACAAGCCGUUCAAUCUCAGCCGCCAAUCAACACUCCUGCCUUCCGUACCUUCUUCUCACGCCUCUCCACCUCGAUCCGCGAUGGCUUAUCACAGCGCCGCCCAUGGACGGAGCUCGUCGAUCGGAGCUCCAUGGCGCGACCUGAGUCUCUCACCGAUGCCUUGUCCCGGAUCAGGAAGAAUCUCGCCUACUUCAAGGUUAACUAUGUCGCCAUCGUCUCCCUCGUGCUCGCCUUUUCCCUUUUCUCCCAUCCUCUCUCCCUCCUUGUCCUCGUCGGUCUCCUCGGCGGGUGGAUGUUCCUUUACCUCUUCCGUCCGUCAGAUCAGCCACUCGUCGUCUUCGGCCGCACUUUCUCUGAUCGAGAGACUCUCCUUGCUCUUGUCUUGUCGACGAUCGUCGUUGUGUUUAUGACGAGCGUCGGAUCUCUCUUAACCUCCGCAUUGAUGAUUGGCGUCGCGAUUGUUUGCUUACACGGUGCGUUUGUGGUUCCAGAUGAUCUCUUCAUGGACGAUCAAGAGCCUGCCAACGCCGGAUUACUCUCCUUCCUUGGUGGUUCUGCUACAUCGGCUGCUUCAGCUGUCGCAGGGAGAGUUUAACUCUAUCAACAGAGCUGGAUUCGAUUCAGAUCUAGAAGAAGAACAUGAUCGUUUAUUCAUAGUGGCUUUUAAAUGGAAUCGUAAGCCAGUUACUUAGAGAACCAAGUGAUAUUUUUUUUGUUGACAAAUUGUUGUUUCAUCUUCUAAUUUUGGGAUUUGUGUAAUGAUGUUAAAGCACAUUGAAUCAUCUUUAAUGUUGAUUAUAUUUUGCUCAUUGGUUUCUUUUAUGAUUUGGAUUGAGAAUCUUCCAAGUUUUGUGGUUGGAACAGAUUUGAUUUUGCUUGCUUUUUUUCUUUCCUGAAGUUGAAUCAAAUAGCUAUGAAAUUCAUGAUAUGGUGAUCCAAGUCGGAUUUGACAAUAUUGAGAAUGUGUGUCCAGAUACCAAUAGAGCUAAUACUGGUUUUGAUAGUCUUGCUUUUAUCUCAAUACACACGAGAAGUUCUAUCAUCGUCGUCCACAUAGUUGAAACAAAGAAAUUAGGUGAAUAAUUAGCUAAGAGCAAGAAAGCAAAAGUAAGAAGAAAAAGGUGUGGUAAAUGAUUUAUGUUACAUAGACGCUUUUCCCGUAAACUAAAAUUCAAAAGAAGUGAAAAAUUUUCCGGUGAUCUGAUUGGAAUCGGUGGCGAGUAAGGCAGUUUUAGCUGUCACAAAUUAAGAUCAGAGUUGGUGUCCAAGGUCAAUCGUUUGUGUAUUACAAACAUGGGAUUUUACAACGUAAAUUUCUGCUACUGAAAAUAUGGGAAUUUGGUAUAGUUUUGGGCCUUUUGGCAUUCAGUUUCUGGGGGUCUUGGAAGAUUUCAGGGAGAAUCCAAUUUGUCUCGCUUAAAAAAAAGCCCAUCUUGUUUCAAUUCUUCCAAUUUUAUUCAAGAUGUGUUGAGAGACUUGUGAUAUCUUUUACAGUUUAUGGCAUAUCAGUUGAGUUUAAGGUAAGAAUUAUCUCCAAGAUUGUCUUCUCGCAACCAUAUUGUGUAAACCAUAGGAAUGAAGUGUCAUUAUGGAAUUGACAUGUUUUUGAAAGUAAGUGAUAGGCUUUGGUAGAUUUCAAAAAGCAUUAUUAAGUGUUUGUAUUCGAAAAUUGAAGUUCAAAAGCUCCAUUAGAUCCAACAGUACACGUGUACCAAUCAGCAACUAUCUUAAGUUACCAGACCCAAAAUAAAAAGGCAAAGAUAGAUCAACGUCAACAUUUAACCUCGUACGGCACAACACUUCAUUUUUUUUUACAGGGGAAAGUGUCGCUUUCAAGUUUCAAAGUCGUGUGUCUUCUUUCUAAACUAUACUUUGUAAAUAAUUAUCCUUUGGCACACAGCACUCGGCUUAGCAGAUCUAGCGAUCUAUGUAUCAUGGGACCUACAAAUAUAGCCGUUAGGAGGAGAAUUGAAGGAGCGGUUUGUUGUCCAUUGGUAUAAGCUCCGGCGCAUUAACCGAAGAUGGUCUGCAAAUUAAUGUUGUCUUCUUUAUUUAUUUUUACUUUAUUCAGACGAACAAAUACUUUAAUAUCUUCUACUCAGAUUUGGAAUUAGUAAUGCCUAAUAUAUAAUUCACAUGCAAAUAAUUACAAGACAACAAUCGAAUAGAUCUGAGUAUAUUAUUAGCUCAAUUUGAAUUUUGAACCAUGAUAUAAUAAUACCUAUGCCAAAAUUGAAACUAUAUUUAAAAAUAAGAAUUAUCAAUCUUGGUCAGAACCAACAUUUUGGUACUGUGUCUGUAUUCAAUACUUUUUUAGAUUAAUAAAACCGUAACAAUAUUAUCAAAUACUAGUAAAUACAAAUUAGCAAUGAUAUUUUGUACUAACACGGUUAAACAAAAUGACAUGAGCGAGAUCAACUCAACGAACAAAACAAAGUGUUCAACGCAAUUAAUUAAGAAAGUAAAUAAAAUGAAACUAGCCGUUGGAGCUCAUUUAGUAUUAGGCGAGACAGAGAGCCUCUGCUCCACCCCCAACCUCUUAUUACCAUCACCUGAUCUUUGUCUCCUCCUCUCUUUCUCUCUCUCACUAGAAAAUAUAAAGCACUCAAAGAUUCUCUCUCUCUCUCUCUAAGAUGGUCACGUGCUGUGUUCUUUUCCAACGAAACCCAUCUCUCACUUUACAAAACUCUUUCAAAUCCAAAAAAAUUCCCUGUUCCAUCCUCUUCAAAACUACCCAUUAAGAAAACUCAUUCAACCUUUCUUCUCUCUACUUCAUUCUCCAUGGAGUUUACUACCCAAAACCAAGCUUUCUUCUGUUUCACUCCCCUGCAUUUGAUCAACACUGUCAUUGAUCAAUCUCGGGCUUCACUUCGAAGCCGCUUUCUCCUUCACUUAACUGUUUUCCUCCUCUUCUUCGUCUCUCCCGGCACGAGCCAAGCUUGGGACGGUGUAGUGAUCACACAAGCUGAUUACCAAGGCCUUCAAGCGAUUAGACAAGAGCUGAUUGAUCCGAGAGGCUUCUUGAGAAGCUGGAACGGUUCUGGGUUCAGUGCAUGCUCUGGAGGCUGGGCUGGAAUCAAAUGUGCUCAAGGUCAGGUCAUUGUGAUUCAACUCCCAUGGAAGAGUCUUGGAGGUAGAAUCUCUGAGAAAAUCGGACAGCUUCAAGCUCUUCGAAAGCUUAGUCUUCAUGACAACAACCUCGGUGGCUCCGUUCCAUUGUCUUUAGGACUCAUUCCUAAUCUCAGAGGAGUCCAGCUUUUCAACAAUCGUCUCUCUGGCUCGAUCCCUGCUUCUAUCGGUGUUUCUCGUUUCCUGCAAACGCUUGAUCUCAGCAAUAACUUGCUCUCUGAAGUUAUUCCACCGAAUCUUGCUGAUUCUUCUAAGCUUCUUAGGCUUAAUCUCAGCUUCAAUUCACUCUCUGGUCAAAUCCCAGUGAGUCUCACUCGUUCUUCUUCUCUUCAGUUUCUUGCUCUUGACCAUAACAACCUCUCUGGUUCAAUCUUAGACACUUGGGGUCAUAACACUUCUCCUCAUCUCCGUGUCUUAUCUCUUGAUCACAACUCUCUUUCUGGUCCAUUCCCAUUUUCAAUCUGCAACUUAAUUCAGCUACAAGACUUUUCCUUUAGUCAUAACAAGAUUGGUGGAACCCUACCUUCCGAGUUAAGCAAACUCACUCAGCUUAGAACAAUGGAUAUUAGCAGUAACAGUGUUAGUGGCCAGAUUCCAGAAACUCUAGGGAGCAUUUCUUCUCUUGUACAUCUGGAUUUGUCUCAAAACAAACUUACCGGAGAGAUUCCUGUUUUGAUUUCUGAUCUGAAAGCCCUUACCUUCUUCAAUGUCUCUUAUAACAACUUAUCUGGGCCUGUUCCUUCUCUCUUGUCCCAAAAGUUCAAUUCCACCUCUUUUGUCGGAAACUUGCAGCUUUGUGGAUACAGCACUUCCACGCUGUGUCCUACUACACAACCUCCUUCACCAUCUCCCAGAAAAUCAUCCCACAGGAAUCUGAGUACCAAAGACAUCAUCCUCAUUGCUUCUGGAGCACUCCUCAUAGUUCUGCUUAUCCUUGUAUUUGUUCUCCUCUGUUGCUUACUGAGGAAGAAACCUGACAAAACCAAAGCCAAGGGCAGCGAGGCUGGACCCGGAGCUGCAGCCUCAAAGACCGAGAAAGGAAGGGAAGCUGAAGCUGGAGGUGAAACCGGAGGGAAACUGGUUCAUUUUGAUGGACCAAUGGCGUUUACUGCUGAUGAUCUACUGUGUGCAACAGCAGAGAUUAUGGGGAAAAGCACUUAUGGAACAGUUUACAAAGCUACACUUGAAGAUGGAAGUCAAGUUGCAGUUAAGAGAUUGAGAGAGAAGAUCACCAAAAGCCAGAAAGAGUUCGAGAACGAGAUUAAUGUAUUGGGAAGAAUUCGGCAUCCGAAUCUCCUUGCCCUUAGGGCUUAUUACUUAGGCCCCAAGGGAGAGAAGCUUGUGGUCUUCGAUUACAUGCCUAGGGGAAGUCUUGCCACAUUCCUCCAUGGUAAGUUUGAUACUAUUCUAAGAAAUUACUAUUUCUAACGCUUGUGUGGGAAAUGUAACAUUCUAAUUAACUGAUAUGUUCAUGUUUUGAAAUUGCAGCAAGAGGAGCAGAUGUUCAUAUCAAUUGGCCUACAAGGAUGAGCUUAAUAAAAGGAAUGGCUCGUGGUUUGUUCUACCUUCACACGCACGCAAACCUCAUCCAUGGAAACUUAACAUCAAGCAACGUACUUUUGGAUGAAAACAUCAAUGCGAAGAUCUCAGAUUACGGUCUAUCCAGGCUGAUGACAACAGCAGCAGGAUCAAGCGUGAUUGCAACAGCUGGUGCGUUAGGUUACAGAGCACCUGAGCUCUCCAAGCUGAAGAAAGCCAACACGAAAACGGAUGUGUAUAGCCUCGGUGUGAUCAUAUUGGAGCUUUUGACUGGUAAAUCUCCGAGCGAGGCUUUAAACGGUGUGGAUUUGCCUCAAUGGGUUGCUACUGCGGUUAAAGAAGAAUGGACUAAUGAGGUUUUUGAUUUGGAGCUGUUGAAUGAUGUGAACACUAUGGGUGAUGAGAUUCUAAAUACACUGAAACUGGCGUUGCAUUGUGUUGAUCCUACACCAUCAACAAGACCUGAAGCUCAACAAGUAAUGACACAACUUGGAGAGAUUAGACCUGAAGAGACGUCAGCAACUACAUCUGAACCGUUGAUUGAUAUUCCUGAAGCUUCUGCUUCCACAAGUCGAUAGAAAAGAGUGGAGAUUUUUGGUAGUUGGUAGUAGACUUUUUAUGCAAUUCUUUGAUUCUUCAAGCAGUUUUUAUUUCUCUUCCGUUCAUUUUUGUAGUGUUCUUAACUAUUUCAUCAUCAGAUUGUGUUUGUAAAUACUGUAAACUGGUUAUGCUUCUUUUUUAUUCGAGCUUGUGAGAAAAAAUUGAGGGCAGAACGUAAAUUGAGUCUGUAGAAGGCACUAAAUAAGAUAUGAGAGAAAUUCACCAUCUUAUGUAAAAAUCUAGUUAUGCUUUUCAAAUGGGCGCACAAUAUAAUGAAAACGAGAGAAAUGUGGAGAAGAUUGGAAUAUAUAAAAACUAAUUUCCAAAUCAUUAAUAUGGCCUACAAAGAGAGAAUGUAGAGCUGCUUAAUCCUAAGUUAAGAAGCACAAAGUGCUAAGAUACUACAGGUGUCUACAAUAUAUUCUAAAACUAUAUUUUGAAUUGAAGAUACAAUUUUCUGAUAGAAAAAGUUCUAUAUUUGAGUUAAAUGUAAUUUUAAGACAACAAAUAAGAAGACAGAGUGUACAUUUGUUUGUUUUAAAUCCAAUACAUUUUUAUAACUAGUAUAUAUUUAAAAUUUGAUGUAAGAAAUUAUACUUCAAAAAAAAAAAUAUAUAUAUAUAUCUAUGUACUGUUGAGUUUAUCCUUUUUCAUUAGCAAGAAAAAUUGUCUUUUGCUUCUUCUUUCUUUCCUUUUUUUUUCAGAAGAAUCCGAUAAGGUAAAUGAGAAACGUCAAAAAAUCAAGAGGGGCCAAUAGUAACCCAAAAUGAAAAAUAUCUUCCAGCUAAGCAACAGUACCACAAGCCAACCACGCGCCUGAAUCCAACUCUCAAUCUCGUCCAUCCACGUGUCAUUAAUCGACAGCCUCAUCAUCCAUAUAACCUCACUUUAUAUUCCCUCUUCCGCCACCAUUCUCGCCUCACAAAAAACCCUUUCUCCUCCCAUUUUCGUUGCAGAGAGAUAAAGAAAAAAUCUGAGAAGCAAAACCAAAAAAUUUACAGGAAACAAAAAAAAAAAUGCUUCUCAAAACCGCUUCUGCUUUCUCUCUCUUGAACAUUCAUGGAGAAAAGAAAGACAUCUCUCCUCUCUUCUCUUCCAUUUCGUCCCCGACUGAUUUCUCCUUGAGUCUUCCCGUUUCUUCGGGAAAAUCCGGAAAUCUCUCCUUCUCGGUUCGUGCUUCUAAGGCUUCCACCACCCAAACGUUAAGCGGCGUCGUUUUCGAACCGUUUGAGGAGGUGAAGAAGGAACUCGAUCUCGUCCCUUCGGCUCCUCAGCACUCGCUUGCUCGACAUUUGUACUCCCCUGAGUGCGAAGCCGCCGUGAAUGAGCAGAUCAAGUAAGUUUUUUCGUGUUGGAUUGAAACUUCUGGUGUUGUAAAUCUGUCGAUUAACUGAUUUCUCGAUUGAAUCCUAUGUGGAGAUUGGAUUUUUUUGGGUAUCCUAUGAAUCUGGAUUUCGUCAAUGGUUUCUUAAUUUCUCUGCUGCAGCGUGGAAUACAAUGUGUCUUAUGUGUAUCACGCGUUGUAUGCUUAUUUCGACCGUGAUAACGUUGCUCUCAAAGGACUUGCCAAGUGAGUUUUUUCUACAAAACUUUGGAGUUUAUUCAAUAAAUUUCGUUCUCUGGGUGUCAAUUAAUCAGUUGUUUUGAUGUCUUGCUAUCAGGUUUUUCAAGGAAUCGAGCGUGGAAGAACGAGACCACGCUGAGAUGUUGAUGGAGUAUCAGGUCUUUGGCCAAUGAUUUCAAUUUUGUUUCAUUCAUAAGCCUUUAUCAUUUGAGCUAAGUUUCUAACACCGUUUCAAUUUGGUUUUCGUGAUCUGCAGAACAAACGUGGUGGGAAGGUUAAGUUACAGCCCAUGGUGAUGCCUCAAUCUGAGUUUGAUCACGCUGAGAAAGGAGAUGCUCUGUAUGGUAAAGCUCAUUUUCAUUUCUGAGAUUUUUGGAUUGAGGAAUUCAAAGUAUAAAAUUUCAGUAGUUUCAUAUCUGUGCCUAGUCAUAGAAUUUGGAGAAACUUGUUAGAAUUGACAUCAAUAUUAGCGUUAAAAAGGGAACUUUUUGGAGAGGUUGUGGGUUUUCAUCAGCAUGAGACAUAGUGAUAAGCGAUGCUUCCGUCAAGUUCUCACUGAGUUGGAAAUCUUAAUGAUGUUCUUUGUUGUUGCAGCCAUGGAGCUGGCUCUAUCAUUGGAGAAACUGGUCAAUGAAAAGCUCCUAAACGUGCACAGCGUAAGACCAUCACUCCUUGGAAUCCAAUUCUUGUUUAUGGCAUUCAAGUCAUUUAGUAUAAUGUCCCAAGAAAUACUCUCUUAAUACAAUUUGCAUUUGAAUAAUGUGGGCAAACAGGUGGCUUCGAAGAACGAUGAUGUCCAGUUGGCAGAUUUUAUUGAGAGCGAGUUUUUGAACGAACAGGUAAACAAAAAGAACACGAUCUAUGUUAGUGGCAAAGAUAAUGUGGAUGAUCUAAAGCCUGUCAAAGAGGGAAUCUAAUGAACUUUAAAAAAAUAAUAUUACUUUCGCAGGUUGAAGCAAUUAAGAAAAUCUCAGAAUAUGUCUCUCAACUCAGAAGACUCGGCAAAGGACAUGGUAGCCAUUUUGUCUUCUCAAUUUUUAAAAUGAUAAAACCUCAUUUCGAAUAGUUCAUGCCUCACACUUUGUUUAUAUGUGUUCAGGAACAUGGCAUUUCGAUCAGGAGCUUCUGGAAAAUGCUGCUGCUUAAUCUGUUCUGGUUGUACUCUCUUAUAAACAGCUUUGGCUGUAAUCUCUUAUAAACUACUGGUUAUUCUGUUUUGGUUGUAAUCUCUUAUAAACUGUUGCGUAAUCUAUUUUGAUUGAGGAAUAACAGCCUUUAGUUUUUGUUUUUAGUCCUGGUUUACAUUGAAUCAAAAUCUCUUAUGAAAGUUUGUAUAUUGGUUUACAUUUGAACGUUCUUAACCUUCACACUCAACCAAAAGAAUCUAUAAUUAAGCAAUUUUUCACAUGAAACAAGUGCUGAGAAAACAAAAGCUAUAUGGGCAAUUUUGAUUGCUUUAGUUUAGCCUCUUUUAAUAUUUAAACAUCGACCACUUAACUGAAUAAAUGUACACAAUUGUAAGUUCGUGUACAUUUUGACCAAUUUCUUAAUCUUUCUUCAUUCUUUAUAGCAUUUAUUUCAGGACCAUGAACUGCAGGCUUUAGGAAAUCUACAGAGAGAAUUGAAAACACAUAAGAGAAUUGUCAGUAACCGGAUAAUAGAAUAAAGAUCUCCGGUUUGGGUUUAGACCAACUUUCACCAAAAUUCUCAUCCACUAACUUGCACAUCAAAUAAUACACAAUCAUGGCUUCAUAAAGAAAAUAGAUACGUUAUAUAUAUAUAUAGAUUAUUUCCCUAUCUCACAUCACGUCGCAGCAAGUAAUAACAAAACACGUGUCACAUAUAUAUUUAUUUAUUGCGAGUCUUGUUUACUAAUUUUAGCUCGUUAUUACACAUAAAUACAAUAUCUUCUCUUUUCUAAAGAGAUGGAUCAGUGAAAACGGAAGAAAGAAAUGACGAGGAACAUCUUCCAAAGUCGGAAAUUCUCAGGCCUCUGUGUUCUCUCAAUCUUGCUCGUAUCAGUCACAAUCAUCCUCCUAACCAAUGACACAAUCGAUCUCUUCCCUUACUUGUCUCUCUCUUAUCUCCGUCGAUCUUCUCUCUCCGACAUCAUCCCAGCUUUCACGCCAACCUCGAGUCCCACCAAUAACUCUUCGUCGUCUAUGAAAUCACCGGUUUCUCAGAACCGAGUCGUUGAUGAUGAUCAAGGUUUGGAAUUGGAUUGGCUUAAUAAAGAUAACAAAUGGAAUGUGAGUUUGAAGGUGGAUUGGAAGAGAUGCGAGAGUCCUGAUUACAUGCCAUGUUUGGAUAACAUAAAAGCCAUCAAGAAACUCAAGUCGAAGAGGAACAUGGAACACAGAGAGAGACAUUGUCCCGAGUCUGCACCUAAAUGUCUCGUUCCUUUACCAAAACGCUACAAGGUUCCUCUUCCUUGGCCUCAGAGCAGGGACAUGGUGAGAGUCUCGUUUCUAUUUUUUCGGUAAGAUCUUUUCUUGAAGAUUUUGUGAUUGCUUCUUUGGUUUCUUUGUUGGUUCUUGCAAACAUUCAGGUUUUCUUGGUUCUUGUUUUUGCUGAUUAGAUUAGAUUAGUACCUCUGCAAUUGCUCUGCUUUUUAAAAUUCUUGUUCUUGCAGAUUUGGUAUGAUAAUGCCCCUCACCCGAAGCUUGUAGAAUACAAGAAAGAUCAGAAUUGGAUUCGUAAAUCCGGAACUUUCUUUGUCUUCCCUGGAGGUGGAACUCAAUUCAAAGACGGUGUUAUUCACUACAUCAACUACAUACAAAAGGUAUACAAAUUAUACAUAAACCAAACAUUGAUUUUGUGUCCUCUGUUCUUGAUUUUCCGAUUUACGUUUUACAGACGUUACCUGUUCUUGAAUGGGGGAAGAAAGUACGAGUGGUUCUUGAUGUUGGUUGUGGUGUGGCUAGCUUUGGUGGGACUUUACUAGAUAAAAAUGUGAUCACAAUGUCAUUUGCUCCUAAAGACGAACACGAAGCUCAGAUUCAAUUCGCAUUAGAACGAGGAAUUCCCGCUACUCUAGCUGUUAUUGGAACUCAAAAGCUUCCUUUUCCUGACAAUUCUUACGACGUUAUCCAUUGCGCAAGAUGCAGAGUCCAUUGGCACGGAUACGGUUUGAUUACAAUCGAUUCAGUUAUGAUUGAUCUCAGAAAGUUUCAUGCUUUUGUUAAUACUGUCAUGGAUUCGGCUAUGUUGCAGGUGGUAAACCGCUUUUGGAACUUAACCGGAUUCUAAGGCCUGGAGGGUUUUUUGUUUGGUCAGCUACGCCUGUUUAUCAACACGAUGAAGGGCAUCGCAACGUUUGGAAAAGUUAGUAUAAACUGUUUUUAACUUCUCCUGAUUAUGUUAAUUAGCAUACUUAGUUUUUGUGAUUUUUUUUCUUGUAGCUAUGGAGUCUUUGACUACAUCAAUGUGUUGGAAAGUUGUGGCUAGAACUCGUUUCACAAAAGUUGGAUUCGUGAUUUACCAGAAACCAAACUCAGAGUCUUGCUAUGAAUCGCGUAAGGAUAAUGAUCCGCCUCUCUGCACCAAAGAAGAAACAAAGAAAAACAGCUCAUUGUAAAUAACAUUUUAUCUUCUUCUUGUUUCAUUUCAACAAAAACAGAUUUUUGAUGACUCUUGACGAAUACUGCUUUUUCCAAUCAUAGGUACACUCCUCUGCUUAGCUGUCUACCGAAAGUACCGGUGGGUCCAACCGGAAAAUGGCCUUCUCGUUGGCCUGAAAGGUUAACCGAUAGGCCGGUUAGCCUCAUAACAGAACAGAUCAGUGAAGAGAGUUAUAGAGAAGACACAAGACUCUGGUCUGGAAUCGUAUCAGAUGUCUAUCUAAACGGUUUAGCUAUAAAUUGGACCAGGAUUCACAAUGUUAUGGACAUGAAUGCUGGUUAUGGAGGGUGAGGAAAAUUCUUCAACAUAGUUAGUUACUUUAGAAAAUACUCUUUCUAUUUCUUUACCUUUGGUUCUUGAUUUUGCUUUCAGAUUUGCAGCUGCUCUUAUAAACAGACCUCUCUGGGUGAUGAAUGUGAUUCCUGUGGAAGGCAAAGACACAUUAUCGAUGAUUUUUGAUAGAGGUUUGAUUGGAAUUUACCAUGAUUGGUGUGAGUCUUUCAACACGUACCCAAGAUCAUAUGAUCUCUUGCACUCUAGUUUCCUUCUCACCAAUCUUUCUAAAAGGUAACAUUUAUGAUUCGUGGACUGAACUGCAAAACUACAUGCUGUUUUUGAUUUUUUUUUUUUUUAACUUAUGGUUUUUUUAUCUUUAUUUUAUCAGGUGUGAUUUAUUGGAGGUGGUAGUGGAAAUAGACAGAAUAGUAAGACCAGGAGGGUAUCUUGUGGUGCAAGACACCGUUGAAAUGCUAAAGAAGCUUAACCCUAUUCUUUUAUCUCUCCGAUGGUCAACGAAUGUGUACAAAGGCAAGUUCCUUGUUGGCCUGAAGUCGUUGUGGCGUCCGUAAACCCAAUAUCCAUCCUCUUUAUAAAAAUGUUUAAAGGGGUUUUUGAUUAGAGAUGUUGAAUGUUGUUUUUUUGGUGUGGAUUUUCUGAUUUUUUAUUACUCUUUUUUUUUUUUUUAGAAAGUACUAGGGAAUCGAAUUAUACUCGAUACUAUUUUUGAUAAUGUCUUUAAAUAAAAUAUUUUCAAAAGAAUUGCAAACUGAAUUUCCUUUCUCUCCCAUAUCACUCAUCAGUUUUUGAGAUAUGAGAGAGAGUAAACAAAAAAAAAAACAAUGCAGUUCGGUAGUUUUGAUAGUGGGCCUGAAUCAUAUUAUGGGCUUUUUCGAUGAGCCUAUUACGGAUAUGAGAAAAUAAAAGGACACAACCGAGAAAACCCAAAGAUCUCCGUCUGAAUCUGUCAAAAGCCCUAGCAAAACCCUAGCACCCAAAUCCUUAGUCCGUUUAGCCGUUAUAUACGUGUUCACUCUCGGAUCACCGGAAGUAAAUCUAUAGACUCGUUGAGAAGACGAUUUUCAUUUGCAAAGGUAUCUCAUUUCGUUUAAUCUUGAUAUUUUUCUUUUAUUUCAGAAUUCAAUCCGAUGUCCUCUAUUUCCUCUAUUUGCGUUGUAUUGGGUAUAAGCACAUAUCGAAGGCUUGUAGAUAGCGUAUAAUUAAAAUCGCCUGCGAGCUCAAUAUUUGUGCAAAAUCCUAAACCAUUCAUUGAGAUUCAAUAAAUCUCUGUGUUAUAAGAAUCUUUCUUUUCUUAUCGACAAUUUUGAUGGGUGGGACAUUUCUUCCUCGAUUUUAUGAUUUAACAUUUGAUGAAAGAAAAUCUGAUUGGAUCUGUUGUGAAUAGUCGAAUCCUUUGUCUUUUGAAUUGAAUCAGAUAAUAGUAGCAAUUGGUUACAUCUAGUAUACUUUCAUAAGUGACAGCUAUUUGAACAGUUUGGUGACUUGAGUUGCGUCUGUGUAAUGGAUUAGAGGAACUGAUCAGGUCUUAACCUUUUGUAUCUCAAGGAUGAUUUACUGAAUUCAUAUCCAUGGUUAAUAUCAUUGAUGAAUCGUAGCUUUGUUAUUGGCAGGAUUUGGAGUAUUAGUGAAACCUGAGGAAAAUGUCAAACCCGAAAGUCUUCUUUGACAUCUUGAUUGGGAAGAUGAAGGCAGGGCGUGUUGUGAUGGAGCUAUUUGCAGAUGUAACACCGAGAACAGCGAAUAAUUUCCGUGCACUGUGCACAGGAGAGAAGGGAAUUGGGGAAGCAGGAAAGGCAUUACACUACAAAGGCUCAGCCUUUCACCGUAUAAUCCCAGGAUUCAUGUGCCAAGGUGGAGAUUUCACUCGUGGGAAUGGAACUGGAGGAGAAUCGAUAUACGGGUCUAAAUUUGCGGACGAGAACUUCAAGUUGAAGCACACUGGUCCAGGGAUUUUGUCUAUGGCUAAUGCAGGUCCCAACACCAAUGGAUCUCAGUUCUUCAUCUGCACAGAGAAAACAUCGUGGCUUGAUGGGAAACACGUUGUGUUUGGGAAAGUUGUGGAUGGGUACAAUGUGGUCAAGGCAAUGGAGAAUGUUGGAUCUGACAUGGGAACCACCUCUGAGAAAGUUGUGAUUGAAGAUUGUGGUGAGCUCAAGGACGAAACUUCAUAAAUCUCAAACACAUUGGGUUGAUCUUAGGAAGAUAUCCCUUUUUCACUUUCCUUAACCUGAAUAAAACUGUAUGACCUAUCUUUUAGCUUAGUAAGCUCUUUUGAGCAUGAAUCUAUACUUGUUUUGAAACUACUUCUUUACUCCCAUGAAAGAUGAGUCAAUCCUCUUCAUCGUCGAAACAAAGGAUAGUGUAUAUUAUGUAUAUAUUUAUAUAUCACAUGUUUCAUGAAUCUUGCAAGUGGGGUUCUACUAAAGCUAUUUGUAUAUAAAAUUUUAAAUUAAAACUGAAAAUGUUAAAGUUUUUUCCUUCAGAAACAAGAGUUGAUUAUUGAUUAUUGAUGUUGUAUUUAUUAUUUAUAUGUAUAACAGAGAUUUAUGGAGGAGAGUAGGAGGGGUGGUAAUAGUUAAAUUUCUCUACGGAGACGGGAGACAUUUGGUUUUGAUCUUGGUUUUCUCAUCUGUGUUUACUAAAUUAUGAUGGAUUGUUUCAUGUUUUGGUUUUUAGUUUUGCAUAAACAAAACUCUUUGGAUUCACUUGCCAAUUUGUAUUCAAAACUAUAAAACUGCUGACUUUUGUAAAUGGGCAGAUCUCUAUAUACACCAACUAGAUAGACUUUUUGAUCAUGUGGGGAUUAUAUAUCAUAUUAUUUAAUGAACGAAAACAUUUUGUUUCACAAUUGUACUGGUUUCUUUUAAAAAAUCAACUACCAAAUUGCCUUGGCAAUUAAUGCUAUUUUGUAAUUAAAAGCCUAACAGACUUUCUGGGUAUAUCUUCAAUAUCUUAUUGUACAUAAAAGAGAUCGCGAUACCUGUUAAAAAAAUUAUAAAUGAAAACUAAAGUUUUUUUUAAAAAAAUUAUAUUUUAGAUUAGAAUAAUGAAAUUAAAAAUAGAUAACAAUUCUGAAAAGAAAACAAAAAAAGGCAAAAAAAAAAACUAUAUUCGAAUUUAGAAUCAAGAAAUAAAGAAAUUUUCUUAUAUAGGUGAAUGUUUUUGAGUUGGUAAAUUUUAAAAUAAGAUAUAUUUUUACAUGCAAUCUAAUCUUUUCUCCAUUGUAAUUAUCUAGUUUAAUAUAUUAGAUUUUUAGCAAUGACAUUUGUUAGGUGAAUAAAUUCAAGUGGUGGUGAUACAUCAACGAUACUAACAUAAACUAUCAUGUUAAAUAUUUUGGUUAUUAUUGCAUUCACCAUUACAAAAAAAAAGGAAUGGUAUAGUAUUCAAUUCAUCCCCCCAAAAAAAACCUCACAUGUAAAAAGAUAUAUAGUGAAAUCUAUGAACCCAAAGACUUGACCGUUAUAUAUGGUUCCAUUUUCUUUCACCUUUAUAUAAAGCGCACGAACCAUACUCUUGUUUUCUGUCCCCCCAAGAGAUCUUGAGGGUUAAACUUUACUUAAAUUAUAUAAUCAUACACUAUAAUGGAUUAUUAUAUUUUCCGAUUAUUUCGGUUGAUUCUCGUUGCAAUUUUCAUCUUCCAGGGAUCGUGUUAUUCCGACCAAGGUACAACUAUUUUGUUUAUCUCUAUGAUAUUUUUUAAGGUUAUGCUUAGCAUAAAUAAACUGAUUCCAAAUUUUAUGAAAACUGUUUUUUUGGUGAAGCUGGUGGUUAUGGUUUUCUGAAAGAUGCAACAUUAGCACCAAAAGUCUCUCACUUCGACUACAUAGUCAUCGGAGGAGGAACCGCCGGAUGCGCACUAGCCGCAACGCUCUCUCAAAACGCUACCGUUUUAGUUCUCGAACGCGGUGGGUCUCCUUACGACAACCCAACUGCCACAGACAUCGGAAACUUCGCAAACACACUCUUGAACUCAACAUGGUCGCAGCUUUUCAUCUCCCAAGACGGAGUGUUUAACUCACGCGCGCGCGUGCUCGGCGGAGGCACGGUCCUAAACGCUGGUUUCUACUCGCGUGCCGAAGACGAUUACGUUGCGGAAGCAGGUUGGGAGAGAAACGAGGUCGAAGCGGCUUACGAGUGGGUGGAGAAGAAAGUAGCGUUUGAACCGCAGGUUAAGGGAUGGCAAACGGCGUUUAGAGACGCGCUUUUGGAAGCUGGAGUGGCUCCGUACAACGGUUUCACGUACGGACAUAUCCACGGGACGAAAAUAGGCGGGACGAUAUUUGAUCGAGACGGUCAUAGACACACGGCGGCUGAUUUGUUGGAGUAUGCUAAUCAGAAUACGAUUGUUGUCUACUUGCAUGCUUCUGUCCACAAAAUCCUCUUCACCACUACUAAAGGUACUUGAAUUUGAUUGAUAUAUAUGUUAUUAAAUGCAUUGUCUGAUCUCUUUAUGAUUGAAGAUUGAGACGGCAUGGCUCGUGAGGGUUAGGAAGAGAGAUAGAGACGUAGCUUACACGUAAUCCUAGCUACUUUUGUUUUUAAUUAUUAACUGGCGUUUUUUAUAGUUAAAAUGCUCUUUUUUUUUCCAAACAAAAAUAGUAGAUAUUUGUGUUUUGUAUCACUUGCUUAUUAUUGUUUUUACAGGAACUUCAAGGCCCAAGGCAAAUGGGGUGAUAUUCCGAGAUAGAAAUGGAGUGUUCCACACAGCUCAACUAGCAGCAGCACAGAAUGCACUGAUCAAUGAGGUGAUAUUAAGCCCGCAGCUAUUAAUGCUGAGUGGUAUUGGGCCUGCGGCCCAUCUUGCAUACCAUGGGGUGAAUCCUAUCAUACUAGAUCACCCCAUGGUGGGACAAGGAAUGGGUGAUAAUCCCAUGAACCCUGUUUUCAUCCCUUCUCCUGAACCAGUAGAGGUGUCUCUUGUCCAAGCCGUUGGAAUCCCCAAUUUUGGUAGUUACAUUGAAGGUGGAAGUGGCUUAAGUGUCUCUAUUAGUUUGACCCGUGCCUUCUUUGAUGGCGUUUUAAAUCUUCUCAAUAAGGUAUAUUAUGAUCAAUUAGUUAACAGAAUAAAUGGCAUAUAGUAUCAAUUAAUAUAUAUACUCUAAAAUGUUAUAAAUUGGUUUUUUGUAUAUGUGCCAAUUUUUAUUAUGCAGGAAAAACUCCCCACUCAAUCCAUCUCAAACUUUUUGAAAUCUUUCAAUAUUCGAUUGAACUUGAAGACAAAAGCGGGUGUGAUCAUCCAGAAAGUGGCAGGACCUAUCUCGAGAGGUCACUUGGAGCUGCGGAACACGAAUCCAGAUGAUAACCCUUUGGUGACAUUUAAUUAAUACCAAGACCCCAAAGAUUUGAAUAACUGUGUUGAAGGACUUAGUGCUAUAAUUAAAGUGAUAGAUUCCAAGGGAUACUCCAAGUACAAGUACCCUGGAGUAACCGGGCGUGGACUUUUGAAUCUCAUUCUUGCCCUUCCAAUCAAUCUGAGGCCAAGGCACUUAACUUCGACUUUUGAUUUGAAGCAGUAUUGUAUAGAUACAACUAUGACUAUUUAUCACUACCAUGGAGGUUGUCAAGUUGGAAAAGUCGUCGACAAUGAUUACAAAGUAUUAGGGGUUGAUGCUUUGAGGGUCAUCGAUGCAUCCACAUUUCUCAAGUCUCCAGGGACUAAUCCUCAAGCCACAAUCAUGAUGCUCGGAAGGUAAUUAAACACACAUUCAUAAACCAAAUUUUUCUAAACAUUUUUUUUCCAUCAUCUAAACAUAUUAAUUAUAUAAGAUGUGACUGAAGGAAAGUUUAAAUGUGUAGAUAUAUGGGGCAGAAGAUUCUUCGAGAGAGGGCGGAUUUUCUGGAAACUGAAGAAGAAGCAUGAGAUCUUAAAUAUGCUCAAAAGUCUUGUUAUUGAUGAGGAUCGUUGCUUGCUCUGAUGAAAUAUUGAGAACAAAUCUCUUCAUCGUUCAAAGAAAGGAAACUCUCAAGGCAUGAUCAGUAUACUGUAUCAAAUAUAUUUCGUGAUCUUGGAGUGACUUUCUCUAGCUUGUAAAAUAUGUGAUUUUUUUUUUUUUUGGGUUUAAUAUGUAAAAUUAUAUUUAAACAACAUUUAUAUUUACGUACAGAUGUGAAGUUAUUUUGUUCAGGAACACUAAUGAAAAUUGACGUUCUUAGGUUUUUGUUAAAAAUAUUGAUGUUAAUCAGUGACUUGUUAAACGACUAGGAAAAUGACCUGACGGUUAGGUGUGAUCUUCGAAAUCUAAGAAUGUUUAGAAUUUCGUUCAUUCUUUAAACAUGUAAGGUUUUGAAAGAACGGCAUAUCAAAAGUUAAUUAUAUACAUACAUUUAAAAGCACUUUUUAUACAUGCAUGUAUACAUAACAAACAUAUCUAAGAUCUGUCGUAAGAAAAACAAUCCAGCAUGUAUGUGUAGCUAACAUGUGAUUGCAGCUUCGAUAUUUUGUUUUUUUUUUUUUAAAUUAUUCAAUGUUUUCCAGCACUAUGUAGUGUUUUUUAAUUAUGGUCCAAAAAAUAUACUAUAUAGUAUUUUAUAUACAGGAUGCUAGAUCAUUCACAGAUCCCAUAUGCAUGGUUUGUUGCAUUUAAUAAGUCAAUGACAAAAUAAAUUAAUGCAUGGCCUUUACAAUUUCAACCUUUUUUUUGUAUCCAUAACCGGAUAACCCCAUCACUAUGAUGAAAUAGUGUCAAUGUCUUUAAGCAAAAAAAAAAGAAGAGAGAAUAGCUACUAAGGUCAACGUGAACGCAAAGCUAGCAUAAUCAUAAUUUUACGUAAGGAUGAAGUUAAGAUUACGCCAGGUCCAGGACAUGGUGGCGGUGCAUUUGCAAAACUAUUAAUGAUUUUCUCUUUCUGUUCGUCCAAUCAAAACUCGAUGGCUUUCAAAUUACGGCGAGACCGUUACGUCAACCGUAUAUCCUCUAUAUAUAUAUUAUCUUUGGAUUCAUUCCAAAAACGCCAGUUUUUAUUUAUGUAGUCUUUACUUAAUUACUUAUUAUCACAGUAUACUCUUAUCAUACAAGUAGAUGGUCAUAUUUUAUGAAAAUCAUUAUUUGGAGUCUUAUAUUGAGGAGGUUAAUCAGAAAAGUUAUAUAUAUAUAUAGUAUUAAUUAAUUUGAUUUUAAAAGCUUAACUAGAGAAGGAAAAAAAACCCUAUUAAGGUGACUGGUGACACAUGAGAUAUAUAGAAAUGCCAAACGGUCUGAUCCAGUGAAGAGUAAAAUCGACUAACCGAUUACAGGAUCUUGAUAGGAACAAAUUUCACACACGAUAUCGUGGAAGGGUAGAAAAUUAGAGAUGGACAUUUUUUUUUUUGUGGUAAAAUUAGAGAUAGAGAUACUCGUGUGGGCAAAUUUUUAAAUUUUUUUUUUUUUUUGUGUCGGCAAAUGUUUCUUUUUCUUUUUUAACUUGGAUAAAUAACACAAAUUAAACGUGGGUGGUGUGAGAUGAGGUAGAUUAGAGUUGAUGUUUUUGCGGAUUGCAUUUUUUGCGAAUUAGUCUACCAAAACACGUAGUCCAAAAAGAUUCAAGGUUUACAUUAAUUUACCACGUUGUCUUGACACUUGAGACUUGAGAGAGUACAGGCAUGAAGCAAAUUGUGCUACUGGCAAUUGUCCCGGUCUGUGCCAACAACAAAAAAAAUGGCAGGGAUUUGGCAGCUGCGUCGAAACAAAUGACGAAACCAUGCAAUGCCUCUACCAUCAUGAUUCCAUUUCUUGAAUUUUAGUUGUUCUUCUUAUUGACCGGACACAAGUUUUUCUUUCUUUUUCUUUUUGUACACAUAAAUCAUCAUCAACUGCAUAUAAAAUAAAAUAAAAUAUUUCUUGCAAUCUGUUCUAAAUUAAACAAAGUAUGCAUGGUUGCAUGCACUCUCGAAGAAGCAUUAUGCAUGAAAAUGUAGUGACAUUUGAGGCAUCAAAGAUAGUACUAGCGAUAUAUAAUAAUAUAUAUAUAUAUAUAUAUAUAUAUAACAUACAAUGAAUAAUUCUAGAUAGAUAAAUACUUGUGUGGGCAGAAAAAAAAUUAUUUCUUUUACUUGGAUAAAAUAAACAUCAGAAAACGUGGGCGGUGUUGAUUACAAUUAUGGAACACUUACAUGUAUAUCCUUUAAAAAAAAAACACUCCUAUAUGUACCUGUGUAUUAAAAGUUCUGAAAAUAUUGGAGAAUAAUUUAAAACAAAUUCCAGAAAAUGGGGGUAUUCCCAUUACAUCCAUGACUAAACCCCACAUGGCAAAGAAAGCUGGAUUGAAAACGAAGAAAGUAACAGCGAAGCAAAUACUCCACGUUGAAUCAGUCAGAAACUCCUCCACGUACUUAUUGCAUUUUUUUUUUUUUUGAUUAUUAAUCUACAAGAGUCAAGACCACAACACAAUCAUUCAUUCAACUCCAAUCAUCCAAAAUAUGAAAUACCCACAAAUCAAUACAAAAAUCCACGUGGCAUGUACACCCCACUAUCGUUCUCGUUAUAAUAUUUUUCUUUUUUGUUUUUUGUUUUUUCCCCUCUGUUAAGUAGCAUAAAAAAAACACACAUACCCACACAAAAAAAAAAAAGCCAAGCAUUUCCAACAAGCUACGGCAAAAGUCUUUUUCGACGGUGGCUUUGGCCUCUUCUUUUGAAACCUUUUAGUUCUGGCGUCUAUUAAGGUCCAUAGUUUUUUCUUUUUUUACAUGCUCGAUUAUUCUUUAUUUUAUUCUAUAUAAAGUACUAAUUAUCUGUAUACCGGUUAGUAUUCUACACGUUUAUCUAAUAGUAAUACCCAUGGCGAAUUAAACCUUUUUUUUUACAGCGAUGAAUGUUGGAUCUUAUUUUUCUCUGUUCGUUGAACAUAGUACAUAUUUUGAUAAAAGAGAGCACAUUGUUUUGUUUCAUGAGAAAAAAAAAAACGAAGUUAUAGCUUAUUUAUUUUCGAUUGUCAACAAGAAGAAGUUAUUGUGUUACUGAAACUCUGGUGCAUCCUCUUAAUUUAUUAUCGGCCAAACCACGGGGACACGCGCUUUAAAUUAAGAAAAUUAAAAACAAAGUUGAAAAGUCAUCUUCUUCUCACAAAAUCGUUUCCUCAGCCAUGCGAACUCAAACUCCAAGCUCUCUCUCUUCUUCGUCUUUUAGCUUACUUUUCAUUUUCUUUUUCCUUUCUUCUUCUUCUUCGUCCUUUAAUCUGUGAUAUAAUUUCAGAUCGAGGAUCGAUUUUCUCAGCUUCCGUGUUUUUUUUUGUUUGGCUUACUUGGUGUUGCUCAACUCCUAUUUCCAGUUGUUGUCUUCUCGGUUUUUGGCUCACGAUGAGUAAGAACUGGAAAUCCGUUCGAUUAAGGCUCCGAAUGCGUUCUCUCAUGUUUUUUAUGGUGAUUUUGAGCUUCGAUUCGUGCUAUUCGCUGAAGUAUGAAGGUAUAUCGGUUUUCGUUUCUAAUUUUUUUUUGGCUGCCAAUAAAUAGAAGCGAGUUCCUGAUAAUUUGUUUUCCUCCUCUGUUUCGCUUUCGGAUUUCAGGUGUGGAAUCCAAAGGAACAGUGACGGAAGAUCCAUGGUCUGCUAGAGAUGCCGCGGAUUUGUAAGUUGCAGCUUUCGAUUCUUCUGUGUUUGCUUUAGUUUGAUCAAUAAGCUGCUUGUUUUAGUAUGUGCUAGGUAUUUGGAUAAGACGUCUUGUUGAUUUUCAGAUUUAUAGUUUCUCAAGUGUUGCCAAUUUUGUUAUGCUAAGAUCUAAUGUGCGAUGAUGUUUGAUACUGCAACUUGAUUGUUCAGUGAAUAGGUUGCGAACAUGAUUUGAAAAUGACUUAUUGGUUGAGCAUCAACAUCAAUGUAGUUGGUUUGGUAGAUCUAUGACUUUAACACCAUACUUUUUAGCUUAUUUGAGUGAACUAAUAUUAUUUUUCUAAGUGGUAAAAUCUAUGAGUUUCGAAAGGCUUUGUUGUUAGUUGUUAUGCAACAUGAAUAUAGACGCUGUCUUUUUAUGCAUAUGUAUUCCAAUACUUGCUAAAUAUUCUUAUAAGCUACUGCAAUCAUAAUCAUAUCAACCUUAUUUAGAAACUUGUUGCUAUAUUUUUUUCCUAUCUUUAAGCUCAAUUUCAUUUUACCUUCGUCUUUUUCGUAGGAGAACGUUUAGUUUUCACCGGAAAUUACUUGGCCGUUUCCUUAACCCCUACCACAAUUUGACUGCGUUCAAGGACCGGCCGCCUGUGGCAAGUGUUACACCACCGUCAUCUUCGGUUUCUCCCAGGUCUAAUGCCACUAAAUCCUCAACAUUGCCUCCUCCGCCACAGAAAAGUCCUCCUGCGCUAAAUGUUUCUGCUCCACCUCCUCCUUUACCCCGUGCAAAUUUUCCUAGUCUAAGAAGAAGCUCCAAAACCAGCAUGGUUCCUAUUAUGGCUGGCUGCAUAGGCGGUGCUGUGUUUCUUCUCCUUUUAGCUAUUGGUGUCUUCUUUUUCAGAAGUAAGGCUGGGAAAUCUGUGAAUCCUUGGCGUACAGGUCUUAGCGGACAACUUCAGAAAGCGUUCGUAACUGGUAAUUGUCUUUCUACGCCACUGAUACAAUAUGUAAAGUCGCAUUUUUAGUUCUUGAAGAUUGAGGUUUAACCUUGCCUUCCAGAAUUUUGGAGAAAUCGAUGUUCUUGUUGUUCUCAGCCCACGAAUUUCUUUUGGUUUCAACAUUAAUGAUGUUUGAUGGUAAUUCAGGUGUUCCCAAACUCAAAAGAUCUGAGAUUGAAGCUGCCUGUGAAGAUUUCAGUAAUGUCAUUGGGUCUUGCCCCAUUGGUACAUUGUUUAAAGGGACACUAUCAAGCGGGGUGGAGAUAGCUGUGGCUUCUGUUGCUACUGCGUCUGCCAAAGAAUGGACAAAGAACAUAGAAAUGCAGUUCAGAAAGAAGGUAUAUAUGGUCGACCAGUUCCUUUAUACUUUUAAAGGGUUUUCUGUCUCCUUAUCGUUUAUGUUCUUGAUAAUUUCAGAUCGAAACGUUAGCCAAGAUAAACCACAAGAAUUUCAUCAACCUUCUUGGUUACUGUGAAGAAGAUGAGCCUUUCACUAGGAUCUUGGUCUUUGAAUAUGCAUCAAACGGAUCGCUCUUUGAACAUUUACACUGUAAGCAAAAAAGCUCUUUAGUCGCAUGAGUCAUUACAUUUUAAGUUGUCUCGUUUCCUUCACGAUUUUAAAGGGGAAACAAUAUUUACUUUUUAUUUUGCAGAUAAAGAAUCAGAACAUUUGGACUGGGUAAUGCGGCUAAGAAUAGGAAUGGGCGUAGCAUAUUGCCUUGACCAUAUGCACGGGCUCAAGCCACCUAUAGUUCACAGCAAUCUUCUCUCAUCAUCAGUUCACCUCACAGAGGAUUACGCUGUCAAAAUUGCGGAUUUCAAUUUUGGUUACCUAAAAGGCCCAUCCGAGAGAGAAACCAGCACCAAUGCACUCAUAGAUACGCACAUCUCAGUCACAACACAAGAAGACAAUGUUCACAGCUUCGGUUUGCUAUUGUUCGAACUGAUGUCCGGAAAACUCCCAGAGUCUGUUAGAAAAGGCGACUCGGUAGAUACCGGAUUGGCUGAUUUCUUGAGAGGAAAGACUUUGAAAGAGAUGGUGGAUCCAACACUGGAAAGUUUUGAUGACAAGAUUGAGAAUAUAGGUGAAGUGAUCAAAAGCUGUGUAAGGGCAGAGCCGAAACAGAGACCGACAAUGAAGGAAGUCACGGGGAGAUUGAGAGAGAUCACAGGAUUAUCACCGGACGAUACUAUUCCCAAGCUUUCGCCUCUGUGGUGGGCAGAGCUGGAAGUGUUGUCUACUGCGUGAAGAGAGAGUGAACUACUUUGCUUCACAAGGAAACUGUAAGUAUUAAUAUGAAGACUGUGUGAGGUUUUUGAGCCUCUGUGGAGCUAGUUGCUUCUCGUUAGGCUACAUAUCUAAAAUCUAUGCAAGUUAGUCUAUAAAAGCGACUCUAUAAUCUUAGUUGCGUUCAGUAUCAAACAGUACAUGUCCAAGAGCACGGUGAUACCCUUUUUGGUGUGCAUAAUGUCAAUGGUGGUUAUUGUGUUUUAGGUUUUAUUAAUUUCUUGAAAAGUUUUAAUUAAUCAGGUUCUGAAGUAACAUAAAGAAAGCCGAUCAAAGUAUUUAUCACAAUGUUUGGUCGGUCAAAGAAUCUAGUUGAGAAUGGUGCUUCAGGCUUGCAGUUGAUACAGUCUACCUAGAAUUGGCUACCUCUAAUAUUCAAGCCAUCCGAGGAAUAAAGUUAUUCUUGGUGGGUUCCUAAACAAGUCUCAUCGAUAAACACAGAGUUCUUAAUAUCUUAAUUAGCCGGCUUCAUGUUUAAGUUCAGAGUUUCUUAAUGAUCCUUGUCUUCACUUGCCACAGUGUGCGCAGUUAAAUUGGUUGGUUUUAUACCUCUCAAUAGAAUUCAAAAGUGAAAAUAUUUUAACCCUUUUCGGAUUCUCAUACCAUAGUUAAAUGUAAUAUGUUUAUAUGUUGACAAAAAAAUAAAACGUAUACCAAGAAAGAAAAGAAAAAAAGGAAAAUAAAUUGGAGUCGACGUGAACAUGGCCCAUCGGUGUAAUCCAAAGAGAUGCCAUGUGGACCGUCAGAUUAAAGAUUGCAUCACACGACAAUCACACAUCGUCUACACAAUCAUCAAAUCAUCCGCUUCUGGUUGGAUAAAAAAAAAACAAAAAACAGGAAAAAGAAAGAAAAGAAGCAAAAUCGUACAUUUGAGAGCGCAGCUUUUGGGAGGAGGGUAUAUGCUUCGAGUAUCUCUCCUUAUCCCUCCUCCGGGUCUUCUUCAAAAACCCCACUCCUUCUUCUUCCUCCUGUAACUUCCUCUCGCCAUGGCCAAUCCUCAAGCUUCUCCGAUUCUCCACAACCACAAUCAUCUCUCCUUCUUCCACUUCCAAACUACAUAUUCUCGUCCUUCCUUUACCUCUCUGCAUUUCAGGAAGCCUCUGCUCUUUCUCCCUUCUUCUUCUUCUUCUUCUUCUUCUUCAUUUCCCUCGCAAUUACCUCAGAGCGAGCAGCAAUGUAAUCACCAGGUGAGACGCGUGUCCACCGUACCUGUGGAGUACUCAACACCGACUCCUCCGGAAUCCGACGAUUUCUCAUCGGAAAUCGAUCGGCUUAAGGCUCUCCUAUCGAAACUAGACGUUUCCAAGGACCUACGGAGGAAGGAAGCGGUCAUCGACGCUGAUUCCAGAGUUCGUCGAUUCUUCAGCGAUAAUCGAGGCGGUUUAUCCAAGGUUUUAGCUUCACUUGGUUUGAAUUCGAAAGAGAUGUUUCUCGUCAAGUGUGUGAUCGCUGCGGGGCAAGAACACGCGCUCUGUGUGGGUUACGAGGAAACAUUUGAAGAAGAAGAAGAGGAGUAUACAGUGAGGAGUUCUGUGAAGAACGCGCUUUACGCGUUGGUGGAGAUGAUAGAGCGAUUCGAUGUGAAUAGCAACGGCUAUAAAGGUAGAAGAGAGACGUGUACAGUUUUAGAUGCAGAGGAGAUUGCUCACUUUAGAAAGUUCUUGACGUUUCUGGGAGAAAUUGAACAGUUCUACGACUGCAUUGGAGGAAUCAUCGGGUAACAAAUACUUAACUUCCUUUUAGUACUGAAAUUUGAUGAACCCUUAAAGGAGAUCCCUUGAAAGUGAAAGAAAAUGGCAUUUCUCUCUUUGAUAUAUUCACUGCUGAGACAUGCAUGAUUGUUUGUCAGAUAUCAGGUUAUGGUUCUCGAGCUUCUUCACCAAUCGACUAAGAGGCAUAAUGCGAGCCGAUCACAUCUUGUUGAAGAGUCUUUAAGUUGCCAGUACUUAGAAAUGCACUCUCCUAGCGUUCUUGACCUCACUCAAGAGAAAGAGUUUGCCUCCCAGGCGGCAUUAUGGGGAAUUAAGGUUAGUAAUGUGUUAUUGCUUUCAAUAUUGACCGAAAUUGUUGUCUAUGGUUUCUGGAUUAUAAGUUGUUGUACAUAUUAGGGAUUGCCAGAUUUAGGUGAGAUAUAUCCCCUAGGAGGUGCAGCAGACAGGUUAGGUUUGGUCGAUCCAGAAACAGGAGAAUGCCUUCCGGCAGCAAUGCUUACUCAUUGUGGACGAACUUUGUUGGAGGGACUUAUUAGAGACCUUCAGGUACAGGUUCACUAAAUACUUGAGUGAUUAUUGGUAGUUUUUUUUUUUUUGUAUUUGUAUGAAUGAAACUGAAAAAUCAGCAGCAUUUGAGGUAUAAACAACUGUAUUUGUUCAUAUGAGUUAGUAAUGAUAUUUGGUUAUCCUUUUUUCUUUUUGUAAUUUAUAGGCUAGAGAGUUCCUUUACUUCAAACUUUAUGGAAAGCAAUGUGUCACACCUGUUGCCAUUAUGACAAGUGCUGCAAAGAAGAACCAUGAGCAUGUAACUUCGCUUUGCAAAAGGCUUGAAUGGUUCGGAAGGGGUCAAUCAAAUUUCCAACUCUUUGAACAGGUAUAGGAAAUAUAUAAUUUCUUUUGAUUCAUAUUACCCUUUUUGGCAACAACUGUAUAUUGAGUAUACUCACGGUUGAAAAAAUGGUUUUUGAUCUUUAGCCUCUCGUCCCAGCUGUCAGUGCUGAAGAUGGUCAAUGGAUAGUAUCAAAGCCCUUCGUGCCAGUUAGUAAACCUGGUGGUCAUGGUGUGAUUUGGAAAUUGGCUUAUGACAAAGGCGUCUUUAAAUGGUUUAAUGACCAUGGAAGAAAAGGAGCAACCGUUCGGCAAGUUAGGUUAGUCACGUGUAGCUUGUGUUGUUGUUCAUUAAAAUAAUUUAAGAGGUACCUGGAAUUCUUGACUUAGUGUUGAUAAUUGUGAUAUUGCAGUAAUGUUGUCGCUGCCACAGAUGUUACUCUCUUGGCCCUUGCUGGGAUUGGUUUACGGUAUAAGAAGGUAGGCGUGCACUGUAUUUGUAUAUUUAGAAUCCACACAUUGGACAUAGAUUCAAAAGAUUAUUUAUAUCACUUUUGGUGUUUAUUGCUAAUGGUCCCCUGAUAGCUGGGCUUGAAGAAGAUUUCUAUAUUACGUAGUAAUGUUUCUUGAGCGUAUAUGAUGAAUAAGUUCCUGUAGAAGUCUGAGCUGUGUCUUAGGCCUCAAACUCUGUUUAGUUAGUUUUUGACAGUUAACUGUCUACUAAGAUGGCGAUGCUUUCCAACCUUGCUUACUAGUUUUGAACACAUAUUAACUAAGUGUAAUCACAGCUCUAUCACUUCAAGAAAAAACAAAAAAGUGAAAUAAUACCUUUUUGGGCUUGGAAACAGUUGAUCACCGCAAACCUUGAUAUAUUGUGAAUCUUAAUGUGGCAGAAACUUGGAUUUGCAUCCUGCAAAAGAAAUGCUGGAGCAACCGAAGGAAUUAAUGUAUUGAUGGAGAAGAAGAAUCUUGAUGGGGAGUGGGAGUAUGGUGUAUCAUGCAUUGAGUACACUGAAUUUGAUAAAUUCGGAAUCUCCAACAGAUCACUAGAUUCAAAUGGGUAUGAGAUUUCUGUCAUUUAGUUUGUUUAUCCUUUAAAAAGUUGGAUAUACCGAGAACCGUUUCAUAGUAUCCAAGUUCUAGCUGAAAAAAAUGAGCGUGUAAUUUAUCUACUCUAUUAUUUUCGGCCUUCAAUGGUAGUUGUUCUUUCUUGUUUUCUGGUUAAACCUCAAUUCCCAUAUUUUUCUUCAGCUAAGAGUGCAAUGAUCAAAAUCAAAUCAUUUUUUCUUUUCUACUUCUUUCUGAAGCUUGCAGGCUGAUUUCCCUGCCAAUACAAACAUUCUAUAUGUAGACUUACAUUCUGCCGAGUCAAUUGGGUCGAGCAGUAGUGUAAAAAGUCUGCCAAAUAUGGUUCUCAAUACAAAGAAGCGAAUUGAAUACACUGACCAGUACGGAGACUAUCACAGGUUUGUAUUUCUGAACACUUAUGCUGACUGAUCUUCGAUGUUCCCUUGUUAUAGUUACCAUUCUUCUCGUCAUCGGUCAAAUCGAGACUGCUGGGUAGCUAAAACGGAAAUGGACUUCCAUUUCCUCUUGACUCCUAGCACUUUUUUUUUCUAGAUCCCAAUUGCCUUGAAAUGUAUACUUCAAAUAAACUUUACGAGUUUGAUAACAUCGGUAGCAACUUUCUUAUUAUUUUUUCUUUUCGGGCAGCGUUAUGGGUGGUAGAUUGGAGUGCACGAUGCAAAACAUAGCAGACAGUUUCUCAAAUAAGUUUCCAUCUAGAUGUCAGGGCAGUCUAGAAGGUAAAGUUGUUUGAAUAAGUUGCAAUGUUUUUAUGCAUAUCUGUAUUUAGGUGUUACUAACUCGCUUAAUAUGAUCUUACCAGACAAACUGGAUACAUAUAUUGUGUACAACGAACGAAGAAGGGUCACUUCAUCAGCUAAGAAGAAGAAACCACACGCAAGUGCUGCAUUACACCAGGUUCGUUUCUCUAACCACUUUCUAUGUCCUUUGUCUUUUCCUUUGUCGCGUUGCUUUGAUUUAAACUAAUUUUUUUAUCUAGUGUAAUAUGACUAUUUUUCGAACUUAUUUCUUUCUUUACAGACUCCAGAUGGUGCAUUGUUGGAUAUACUCCGGAAUGCAUAUGACCUCCUUACAGAAUGUGAUAUUAAAAUUCCCAUGGUUAGUUCAUAUGUACAUCUCUUUUAUAUGACUUGUUUUAAUUAUCACAGAGCCAUGAAGAUGUUUUACAUCUCUGAGUGAAUCUUAUAAAUCACAAUUUCAAAUUGAGACCUAAUAGUUUCAUUCUACUUCAAAUUGAGAAUUAGUAGUUUUCUACUUCUCCAGGUUGAACCUAAUGAUAAAUAUGUGGAUUCCCCACCGCCGUAUAUCAUCCUUCUGCAUCCUGCUCUCGGUCCUCUUUGGGAAGUUUCAAGACAGAAAGUAAGUGAAUAGUCUGUUCGUGACACUAGAAAAUGCCCUCUAGAAAGUGCUUUAGUAUAAUUGAUCAUAUAUGAUAAUUGUUGCAGUUCAAGGGAGGGUCCAUUUCCAAUUGCUCAGAACUGCAACUAGAGAUUGCAGAGGUCUCAUGGAACAAUGUUCAGGUUCCAUAUUUUAUUCUGUUAACUAGAUUUUGCAUUAGCUUUCAUCGUGUUGAGUUUCUUAAGUUCUAAAUCAGCAUCCAUCGCAUAGGUUGACGGUAGCUUGAUCAUCACUGCUGAGAAUGCCAUGGGUUCGACAACAAUAAACGAAAAUGGUGAACCAAUAUUACAAUACGGAUUAAGGUAGAGCAGUUAUAUAUCAAAAUUGUACUGGAAUUUCUCUUUAAGAUACAUGUCUGUUGGUUUGCAUAUGAAUUCACACAACUUGUUUUUGGUAGGUGUGGCAAGUGUAAACUGCAUAACGUCAAGGUAGUGAACCAAGGAAUCGAUUGGAAGAGUAAAUCAAAUGUUUACUGGAGAAACGAUGUGAACCGGCUUGAGACUUGUAAGAUCAUAUUGCACGGAAAUGCAGAAUUCGAAGCCAGCAAUGUAACUAUACAGGUAAAGUAAACGUGGAAGUUAAAAUCCUUGUUCAACACAGAGAUUAGAGUGUGUCUGCUUCGAAUCAAGUGAUCUCUAUUCGCUUUGUCGAUGAUACAGGGAAACCAAGUUUUUGAAGUACCAGACGGUCACAGACUGAAGAUCACACAAGGAAAUUCAGGUCAGUGAAUCAUAUCAAAACCAAUGAUGAUAUUAAUUGAGGCCAAGUUGACACUAGUAUUGAUUGAUUGCAUUAUUUUGGUGAUAGAUUUAGGUUUAAGCAUCAACUUGGAAGCAAUAAGAGAAGAGGUAAUGGAAACAGGAAGCUGGUAUUGGAACUACCAACUCGAUGGAUCCCACAUUAAUCUCGAACAAGUAGAGGUGCCACAAAGCUAACUUACUUGGGAGCUAAGCCUCCCAAUGUAGAAAGUGUCGUGUAAUAAGUAAAUAAAUAUCGCGAAUAAAAGUAGAAAGUUCUUUCCUGUAAAUGUUGCUCACUUGUAAAUUAAACAAAACGUGUUCUCCAAUUCUAUCUUCAAGGCGAGUUUGUCUGCAACUGAUGUGAAAUGUGAAAUUCAAUUCAUUGGAAGGAUUCUUAAUUGCACAAGAAUCCAUGAAUUGGAAGCAAAUACGAAGGUAUAUGUAUCAUGAAAUGUUGUAAACUCUAAAGAAGAUCUCCAUCUGCUAAAAAUGCAAAGAAGCUUAUAAUAAGAUAGAUCUUCACAGUUACAGUCUCUUUGUUCCACGAUCCAUAGAAAAGAAACCAAUCAGAUUUUAUCUCCCUCAAUAUCUGCUGCUAAGUUCAAUUUUUAUCAAUGUAGUGUUCUGCUCUCUGUAACAAUGGUGAUCGUCUUUCUUCUUAUCAGAAUCAAUCAUUGCUCUUUUACUACAACAUUGGUCUCAUAAAAAUCACGCAAAGCAAUUCCCAUUCUGAGUCCUCUCACACACAUCUCUUUCAAAACCAACUUGGCUUCCUUAAACCUCUUCCUCUUGAUAAGCUUACUAGCCAAACUCCCCAAAUUCUCUUCAUCCAAUCUCUUAUCUUUCCCUGCGUACGCCAUCACGAACUCCACUCCCAGCGCAUAAUAGCCACUCUCAAUCAUCUCCGCUAUAACGUGCGCAUGAGUGGCGUACAAUACCGGUAACCCUUCUUCCUCCAUCCUCCUCAGAAUCGCCAUCGCCGCCUCCACUUUCCCCGAUUUACACGCGCCUAACACCAGCGCGUCGAAAGUACGCGUGUCCGGCGACAUCCCUUCCUCCUCCAUCUUCCUCACCACCUCGCUCGCCUCCGCCACGUCACCGUCGUAGCAGUGCGAAGUCAAAAAGUAGUUGUACGACGUCACGUCCACCGGAAUCUCGUGAGAUCUCAUCAAUUCCACUACGCGCCAAGCUUCCUCGAUCUUGUUCUUCUUCGUGAGCGUGUUUAUGAUCGGAUGGAAUGUGCGAAACGAGAGACCGAAUCUCCCGCUUGCCAUAUCGCCGAUCAGGAUCAGAGCGUCGUCGGUCCGGCCGAGUUUGCAGAGUCGCGCGAUGAGAGUUUCGUAGGCGUGAUUCCUCGUGUAGCCGGGGUCCGUUUGAGGCAAAACGCGGCGGAGAUCUUCGAGUGAGGAGGAGUAAGAGGCGGUGUUGGUUAGGAAUUUGAAAGUUGCGGUGGUGUUGAAACAAGCGUUUACGACGCGGCUGUUUAGGAGACGGCGUACGGCUUCGAAAUCGCCGGAGCUUCCUGCUUCGUAGAUGAGGUUAUCGAACUCAGUGGUAGUACGACGAUGACGAGGAGCAAUUGGAUUGGUAUUUAUGGUGGAGAUAGAUCGAAGGAGAAAUCUCGAAUUAGUUGCUUCUUUAAAGUAUCGCCGGAGAAGAGACAUCGUCAAAUUUAAGGCGCCGGAGAUUAGUAAAAAUGACUCUUUUUUUUCUCUCUUCUGGAGGGUUUUAGCCGGAACAUUUAGGAUGAAAACAGUACUGUGAGUGAUGAGUGUAGAUGGGCCUAUUAGGCCCAUAAUAAAGGAACGGGCCAAUAGUAAAAGCCUAAAUGUAUUAUUGGUCUCGAUCCAUUUCCUCUAGGGUUUCUGGAAUAUAUAUUUCAUCUUGUUUUGUCACUCACACUAAGAAAUCGUCGAUUAGGUUUUGUGAAAAAGAAGUCAUGAGAGCUAAGGUAAUAUGAUCUACUUCCAAUCUUCCCGAUUCGAUUGUUUCAGAAAGUUUCUUGCUUUUUUCCUAAGUGAAUAAUUAAUUGUGGAUCUGGUGGUGUUUUUGAUUUUCAGUGGAAGAAGAAGCGUAUGAGGAGGUUGAAGAGGAAGAGACGAAAGAUGAGACAGAGAUCUAAGUAGGCGCAUCAAAUCGACAAGUCUUUCGCUUUUCCCUCUGCUUUGUGUUUCGUUUUUUCCUGGAUUUCACCGGAAUUAGAUAACAAUUCUGUCUUUUGUUUCAAUUUUCAAGAGAAUACAUUUUUGUUGUUGUUGGAUUGAAUCUAUUUUCUAUUAAUGCGAGGCUUUAUUGUCUUCAUAUUGCUCUCUUGCGUAUUUACUAGUUGAUUCACACUCUUUUAUCGAAUUACUCAAAUCUCUUAUGUUUAGAUUGAAAUUAUAGUUUCAUAAGCACUAGAAGAUGUUUGUCUUGUUAAUAGGUUCUCUACUGCUUUCUUUAAAUUGAUCACACUCUUGUACAUUUGGAUGGCUAGGAUGUUUUUUUUGUACAUUUAUAAUAAUUUGAUUGCGCUUAGAGCUACUGAUCUUUUCUUGGACAUGCUAGUCAGUCUUUUUUCUCACUUUACUGUCAUAAAAUUAAUCAAAGCCUAUCGUUCUCAUACUUGUGAUAUUGGGAAGCUGAAAGCCUGAAACUGUGGAUGAUGAACAGAUGUUAUGAUGACUGAACGUAUAAAUUGUUUUAAGGCCUUUUUUUGAGCCUGGCUCUCGUCUCUUGAGAUACGUCGCUCUUGUUGUCUCUUAGGAGUCUUAAUUAGUAAAGUCUUUCCCUUUGACCCUUACGCUCACCUGUUAUAUGAAAAAACUCUAAAAACUCGCAAACUGAGAUAACUAGACUAUACAGAUCCGAACAUGUCCACUCCCGUUUUAUACAAUUUGUUAUUAUUAUCCCAAAUCUCUAAAUCAUAUUUGUUCCUUAUAAUCUGGUACAUUUUUGAAGACGUCUUUCUUGGGUUAGCGGUUUGAACAUAUAUAUGUCUACGUACGUUGGCCUUUUUCUUUUUUGGGUAUAAUCAAUCUAUUUCCACAUCUGUUUUAUAAAAAGAAACUACAAUGUAAAUGCUAUAACUUGAGAAUAAAGCAUGAAGAGAUGUAAUAGCAAAAUUGUGUACUACUAGACAGUAUACACUCAAACCAGCUUUGCCAAGUGAUCAGCUUCCCCAAGUAUGCAUUUCAACUACAACUCUCACUCUUCUGCUUUGAUAGUUUUCCUACUCUGGAAAAUCCAUUAGGCUUUGUCCAACAUCUUCUUAUAUUUAGUUUUCGUUGAAGUGAAUGGCACCGAGUUUCCAGACAACAAAAGUAGUAGCAAACAUCACAGUGCUUAUGAAGACAAAGGAAAAAGCGAUGACGAGUAUAUCUGCGCUUCCAGGGAGAUCAAAUGUAAGGCCUUUCUUUGGCAUACCUCUCCUGCUAUCAUCAAGCAUGUUGGUUGGUGCUUCCGGUAGACCCGGUUUCCUAUUUGAUUUCUUAUCACUUUCCUUGAGCACCUCAAGAAUCUGGCUCCCCAUUUUGGGUUUUGAUGGUUUCGGUGUUGCUUCUGUGUAUCGGCUAAGCACACGAGCCGCUCUUAGUCUCUCUCUUGCUGUCAAUGGUGCUCUUUUCGCAGAACCAUUGUUGCCUGACUCGACGGAUUCACUUGCUGGUUUAUUUGAAUCCGAAGAGGAAGUAUCGACCGAUGUUGAUGUGAUUGAAUUAUCGUUUGUCUCCAAACAAGAUAACACCAAUCUUCUUUUGCUUGAAAGUAACAAACUUGUUGAACCAUUUAGAGAAAUGUGGAACGCGAAAGGCGAAGGCUUUAACGGUGUAGCUUGAGUUGUGAAACUACGAACCUUAUUGGAUCUGUUAUGAAGCUUCAAAAGAGAGAAGGGUUUUUGUUAAUUUCAGCAAAAAGAAGCUUUCUCCAUUCAAGAGAGACCAAUCAAGGAGAAAUGAAACUGUGGAAUUUCAACCCAAAAAAGAAAACUUUAAGGCUUACAAAUUAAACCCAGUUUCAGGAAUCUGCAGGGAAACGAAACAGUUUCGAUUUUACAGAAACCAAAAGGAUAAUCAACUAACCAAACGAAAUCAUCCCAAUUAAGGAUAAGGUGGUUGUGAAGCAAUUAUACACAGGUGUAUGAGAAACCGGAUCACCAAACAAGAAGAAGAAGACAACAAAUACUUACCGGAGAACUGAAGCCGGCGUUGAGAGCGACGGCCAUUGUGAAUAGAUAAACGGUUUUUUAAGAGCGAUGCAUAUGGAAGAAGACGAAGAGGGAGAGAAAGCUUUGCGUUUGUGGCAGUGAAGCUAAGCAGCGUAUCCAAGAUUACGUUCUCUUCAUCCACUCGCUUUUAGAGCGCGUGGAAAUCACGUGGUCGCUUCUUCUAAGAAAACAAACUUGGCCCACAUAGAACAUACUCAAUUGCAAAACACAAAUAUAAUUGGUUUAGGUUCACAUAAAAUCAAUUUGAACAUACUUGAGGCCUAACUAUCUAUUUUAAUUUUAUCGAUGUAAAUAAAUUUAGAAAAUUCAUGACGUGAAAUUCAAAUUAUGAAACAUAAUCGUUAUUUGACAUAUAGUUAAAUGAGAGCCCUGUCCUUUAAACAAAUUAUAUUAGCACAAGUAGUGUGUCUAAUGGCUAUACGCAUACUUGCUUAACCUUCCUGAUAAACUCGGCUUUAACAAAUAAAAAUAAAAAAGUUGUCUUAACCAAUUCCUGAACCUGGAUCCUGUAAAUGUGAGUUGCAAUUGAAUUCGUAAAUCUUUUUAUGACAUUUUGGAAAACAUGUAAUUUUUUGUGUCUAUAGAUAAAUAACUUCAUCAAUCAAGGUACAAGUUACAACUCAUGUACAAGUUCAGAAUUAAGUGCAUGAACUUUUACAUGUUUUCCCCUGUAAAUAAAGAAUGGUCCACUAAUCAUUGACUUUGCAAGUGAUAAUCGUUUGCAUUGAUGAGAGGACCCAUCUAAACCGCUUGUCUUUAGUGACAAUUCACACAUGUAAAUAAUUGCUGAUAAGCUUGACAAAAAAAAAAACAGAAAUGCUAUUUGCUUAUAAUAUGAAAAAUUUAUGUGAUUAAGAAAAUAGAAUAUGAAAGAUAAAGCUAUCAUUUUUAUUUUAGCUUUUCCUCCGUCUCAUAUAGAAAUGCUUUUGUACCAAAUAUGAUAAAUUUGGGAUAUCUAUCCAUCAUAUGUAUGUAAGUAGAUGGGCAUGUUUAUUAAUUGUCUGUUAAUUAAUGCUGUCGUUCUUGUGAGCAUUUAAAAUUAUAUAAAACAGUACCUCUCAUUGAUCGGUCUAAAUAUGCAAGCGAUUACUGAUCUCGUUAGACAUAUUAAAUCAAACAAAAGUCAGAGAUGCUGAUUAUGUCAUAAAAUAUUGAAAUCUCAACACAAAAACUAAGUCAUGAUGUGGUGCGGAAACAACCAAUUCCAGCUCAAUCAAAACGCAUUAAUAUUUAUUUUAUCUGAUCACGAUUAUACAUGUCUCAUAGUUUAUUCAAAUCAAAUAAAAACAAAAGACUUUUACUAAAUCAAAAGACAAAUGGUAGUAAAAAGAAUGUCGGAUCUUCCUGAAGCUCAUUUCUCUCUCUGGAGGGAGAUUUCGAAGCUUUCUCCUGCUUUGCUAAUCUUCUCUCCCACAAGAUUGUUUCUUCUGUGUUUGUGUUGGGAGCUCAAGAGUAUCUGCAAUGGCGACAUCUUCCGAUGGGCUAUUCGACGACAUGAACAUGUUGGGAGUGAUCGGAUAUGUGUUGGAGCAAACCAGAUUCAUCUUUCUCGUACCGAUUCUGAAACUUCUGGUGAAUCUAUGUCAGGUUAUCUCUCUGUUGUUGUUCAUAGAUGCAGCUUAUAUGGCUAUAGUUGUAGCCAUUGUCAAAUUAAGUGGACGAGCACCAAAGAAAGUUCUCAAAUGGGAAUCCUUUAAGAGCGAUGACGUCGAGCUAGCUCCUUCCAGCAAUCAUCCAAUGGUUCUCAUCCAAAUCCCAAUCUUCAACGAAAAAGAGGUGACUUGAUUUCAAACAAAAAAAACAGAGCACUCUGUUUCAGAAAGCAGAGAGACUUGUGUUUCAAAAACAGAGAAUUCUGUUUCACUAGUGAUCUUUUUUAUCUGCAGGUAUGUCAACUUUCGAUAGGAGCGGUUUGCAAGCUAAAAUGGCCAUUGGAUAGGAUGAUUGUACAAGUGCUUGAUGACUCAACUGAUCCACACAGUAAGGUCCUUUCGUUAAACCCGUUUGAAACCUACAUUGUUCUUUGUCUCAGCCACGGUUAUUACAAGGUAUAUAACAAAAGGGUCUUUUUGAAACAAAACAAAAAUAUAGGAACUGGUUAGAUUGGAGUGUAAUAAAUGGGAGAGUGAAGGUAUAAAAAUAAAGUCUGAGGUUAGAGACAGUCGAAACGGGUACAAAGCUGGAGCUCUCACUGCAGGAAUGAAACAUAGUUAUGUGGAGGGAUGCGAGUUUGUCGUUAUAUUCGAUGCAGAUUUUCAGCCUGAACCUGAUUUUCUUCAACGUACUGUUCCUUUUCUUGCUCACAACUCUGAGAUAGCUCUUGUACAGGCCGGCUGGAAAUACGGUUAGAUCUUUCUUCUUCACUCUCGAGCUUGCUAAAAAACCCAUUUUAAAAUCGAUUUGUUCAGCUGAUUUUGCUUGUGUGUGUGUGUGUGUUUGUGUGGCAGUGAAUGCUGAUGAGUGUUGUAUGACAAGAAUACAAGAGAUGUCUCUUAACUACCAUUUUGCGGUGGAGCAAAAGUCUGGAUCCUCCUUACAUGGGUUCUUUGGAUUCAACGGUGGAGCAUCCAUAUCCAUGCUCUUGUGUGUUUUGUUAUGAAUAAGAUCCUAAAUUUGAGUGAUUAUAAAGGAACAUUGUUUGACUGUUUAGGUACUGCUGGUGUGUGGAGAAUUUCAGCUUUGAGUGAGGCUGGUGGAUGGCAAGACCGCACGAUUGUCGAGGACAUGGAUUUAGCAGUUAGGGCUUAUUUAAACGGCUGGAAGUUUGUGUUUGUUGACGACGUUAAGGUUUAAGAAAUCAAGAAACUUUCCAAUUGUAAGACAAUGACUCAACCUUGUACUGUAAUGGCCUGAAAAAGUUUUGGAGCUCUUCUUUUUUCAGGUGAACAAUGAGCUGCCGAGCUCAUUUAGAGCAUAUCGGUUUCAGCAACAUCGUUGGUCUUGCGGUCCAGCGAACCUCUUCAAGAAAAUGGCCAUGGAGAUUAUCCAAAAGGAAGUAAGUAGAUUACAUACAGCCCAAAUCUGAUUCCUUGGGAAGCAAGUAUAUUUCAUUGACCUUUCAUUGUUUUUGUCUCUGCAUGUUGGAUACAGAAAGUGUCUUUAUGGAAGAAGGCGUAUUUGAUAUACAAUUUCUUCUUUGUGAGGAAGAUUGUAGUACACAUCUUCACAUUCGUCUUCUACUGUCUGAUUUUGCCUGCUACGGUUAUAUUCCCGGAAAUAGAAGUACCUAAAUGGACAACUAUCUACAUUCCAGCUACCAUCACUAUCCUAAAUGCUAUCGCAACACCAAAAUCAUUCUACCUCAUAUUGUAUUGGAUCUUGUUCGAGAACGUAAUGGCGAUGCAUAGGAGUAAGGGAACACUCAUUGGACUGCUAGAGACUAGUAGAGUUAAGGAAUGGGUUGUGACACAGAAACUAGGAGAGAGUAAUGCUCUCAGGCAAAACCUCAUUCCUCACUAUAGCUUCCCCGAAAGGUUUGAACUUUUUUUCCCCCUAGAGAUCUUUAUAUCGCACGAAAUGUUGUUAGAAUGAUUGAUGUGAUUGUGAAGUGGUUGAAUUUUUGGUGCAGAAUCCGAUGGCGAGAGAUAAUGGUUGGGAUGUAUCUAUUCAUAUGUGGAUACUACGACUUUGUGUUCGGGAAGACAUACCUUUAUGUAUACCUUUUCUUGCAGUCCAUUGCUUUCUUUGUUGUUGGAGUUGGCUACAUUGGUAUGUCGGUACCGAGUUGAUCACCGGUGACACGUUUAACUUCUUCUUCUUCUCCUCCUCCUACACAUUCAUUCUUUCAAAAUGGUUCGAUUGUAUAGAGAUUUAAAGAUGUUGUUAGACAUAGAGCUCUUCUUGCGUACACGAGAAGUCAUCUCCAAACUGAUAAAUUGGAUAGUGAGUGCAGCAAACAACUUUGCAUCCAAAGAGGCGGGAAAGAGGAAAUGUGAAAGCAUAUCCACUGGUGUCUAAGAAAUACAAAGCUGUGAUUGUAAAUUAUGUCCUUUUUGUCUUCUUUUUAAACUUUCAAAUACUGAUAUGCGCAUAGUUUUUGAUUAUAUGUAACUUCUAUUGAUGAAACAAUUUUUGAAAAACAUACAUUACUAUAAAACAAAGAGAGUAUCACAAGCUUUAGUCUAACCUCAGAACUGUCUAAGUCUUGACCCAAAAAAAGACAAGAAAAAAAGAACUGUCUCUAUAAAGUUAAGUUGGUCAGUAGCCUCCUCCCAUUGGUGGCAUGCCAUAUGGUGGCAUCGGAGGCAUUCCCACCAUUCCCGGUGGUGGCUCAGAGUAGCCUCCGCUCAUUCCUGGUGGUGGCGGCGCAGAGUAGCUUCCGCUCACUCCCGGCACUGGCGGUGCAGGCAAAGCCAGUGGCAGCAACUGAGCAUACAUGUUCUGCACCGUAACACAACCAAUUUAUUGAAUUUACUUCAUUUUAGUUAUCUAAACAAACACCUAACUGAAGUUUCACAAGUACCUGUUGCGACAUAACCUCCUUGUCCUCUUGCUCUUUAGCCUUCACUUCUUUCUGUGCUUCUAUCUUGUCUUUUAUGAGUUCGUCGACUUUUCCGGUGUAUUCGCGCAUAAACUGCAGCAAUCAGACAUAUAGGUUUGUGAUCGAAAUGGUGCAUAUCAACAGCAUGAGCUGUUUCGCCGGUAUAAUGGAAUAAUGCUAAAGAGACUGGUGUCAUAUAACAGAGGAAAAUAAAUUACCUGCAAGAGGUAGGGCAUGGCAAAGUCGAUCAUUUUGUUGAUCCAAGCUAACUCAAGGGCAACAUCUGGUCGGAUUAAGUCGUAGCAUACAAAUAGACAUGUUGCAAAACAUUCCUUCUUUCCCUAUUCCACGACAAAACAGUAAUUGCUUCAGUGAAUUAUGAACAAAUGCAUGACGACAACAGAUACAUGGUUUCACAACUCAGGAAUUUUUAGUACUAAAACCUGUUCUAUGAAAUAAACAAGCAACUCCUCUGCUAGUUCACGGUCUCCAGACUGUGAAGCCGUUUCCAUGCAGUCCUUGUAUAGCUUAUCUUUUUUCGACAAUGCAAUGGAUUGCUUCCACCUUCCAGCCUUUUUGUAGAUGUAAGCCGAUACACGUCUCAUCUCGAGUAGUUCAUGUUUCUCAAUCUGCUCAGAAUCAUCCAACGGAAUGGUUAUAUUAUGGUUAUAAGAUAUAGCAACAUUCAAUAACGCAAAGAGUCAAAGAUGACAGAAAUUACGCACCUUCUGAGCAAGACCUAUUUGGUCAAAGCUAUCAUGCAAAUCAGUGGAUUCACGCAACCUGUCGUAAUCUUCCUCUUCUACAUAAAUCUGGUUCAACGCUUCAUUUACAGCGGAAACAUUGUUGCUCUGAACAGCGACCAUGUAGGGCUUGAUAAGAAGCAGUUGUCCAGCCUGAAAAAGAAAAGAAAAGACAUCAAUAAGUAAUUGAAGUAUCUUACUUAGAACUACGGCAAAUAGUUGAAUGCUGCAUGCAUUUAAUAUAAAAAUAAGUGUAUACCUUGCGCAUAAUGUCAACAACACGGGAAUGAUCCAGCCUUAGUGCAAGGACAUUGAGAACGUCGUUAAUGAUGUCUGGGUGUUCUUGCAAGUAGAAGUGCACUGCUUUGUAAUAUAGCUCCACAUUGGCAACUUUGGCAACAAUAUCUUUGAACUGCAUAUGAUCCCAAGCUUCCGGGGAGUGGUUCAUUACAGUGGUCGCAGCAUUAUCAAAUUCAUCAUACUGGAUGUAUAAGUAGACAAGUUCCUUCCAGUGUUGUUGCUCAUCACAAGCUCGGAUAAGCUUGGGAAUGUUAAGUCUUGUUGAAAAGAGCUUGAUAUGCUCCAUCAAUUUCUCUGGACGGUAUCUAGCAUAGAGAACUCCCAACUCAGUAAAGAUGCCCAUGUGUGCGCGUUCCAAUCCUAAACCACUCUCCAUUAGAGAUAUUAAUUCAUUGAAGCAUCCACGGUUCUGGUAAUACUCGCUGACCUCUUCCAAAUCAUCAACCUAAUUGUAGAAAAACAAAUGUUAAAGACUGUAUGAUCUACUUAGCGGUAAACGAAAAUCAAUAUAGACUAUACGAGAAAGUUAGUAUAACGUGCGCUACCACCAUACAUACUAAGAUCUUAAGAGAUAUAAUACUGCAGAACUGGUAAAAAAAUAUAUAUACUAAAAAGGACAAAUUUUAAUUAGUAAGAAUUUGGGAUAAUACCUGUAUAAUGAUGUUAAGCCCGCAUAUCUGUGCUAAGCGGAACUCUUCAGCAUCAACGCAAGCAAAGCAAACUUCUUUCCACGUCUUUGCACUGUUAGCUUUCCUUGCUGCAUCAACAGCACCUUGGAACUGUUUCAACUUCACAAGUGUGACUGCUAACUUGGCCCAGUUAGAUAUAAAUGCAUAAAUUAUCUUUGCAGCCUCAUACAUGGCUUCAUCAUAUAAACGAUCACCGGCAGUUUGCAAAUUUGCCACAUUCGGCAUCAGAAUAAACUCUUCAAUGUCACCCAACCUGUCAAUCUUUGCAUAAGUGUAUAUCAGUUCAUUGUCAACCUUGGGCUCCUUUACUUUCUGCCUAACCAUCAGAAGGUAUCUAACUAAAUCAUGGUAAACAUCCCCAUCCUCAGCAGCACGGAUAACAUCAAGGAACUGAGUGGCAUCAUCAGCACGGAUAAAUGACUCUAUUGCAUCACUAACAAGUCCUUCCCUAAGUUGCGCCUUAGCAACCUGACUCCAAACUGUAUCCUCUUCGACACGGAAUGCAAACUCAACAGCUCGCUCGAUACUUCUAAUGUUGUCUAGUAGCACAUUAACGGCUUGAACAUUCAAAUUAAAUUUCUUGAAAAUAGAAAAUCCUUCCUCAUACAACUGGGCUUCCACAGCCACUUCCCCAACAGCAGGUCCAUCAAAAUUAUCCAAUCUGUUAACAUAGUCCAUGACUCUUGACGGAUCUGCCUUGAUAGCUGUCAAAAUUAGCAGAUUUUGAAGGUUGGAGUUCCCGCUAAAAGCUGAGUUCUGAAGCACAAUCUUUUCGAGAAGCUCAAUGAGCUCAUGAGGUAGAUCUGCUGUCAUGAAAGCUUUAACAGCAGCUGAUACUUGUUCAGGGCUCUUGCUUUCCGGUAAAGCAGUUGAUACAACCUGAUCAAUAAGCUGCCUUCGAUAUUCAUUUUCAGAAAUAAGAACCUUAUCCCAGAGAUUUUCAUCCAUCCUUUCAACAACAUACCUGUAACCAAGAAGAAACACGUAAGUACACGGCACUGGAUGCCCAAACACGUAAGUACAAGGCACUGAAUGCCCAAACAGCAAGAUUUCCACAUACCUAGCUUGCAAUUUAAACAAUGAGUUCUUAUUUGUGACAUUGAUGAGCUCAUCAUCACACUGUCCUCUUUGGUAAGCCACAACUGCAAGGGUGGGAUCCCGCUUCUCGCAGUACUUACCAACAACUCGGGAGUCAUAGUAAGGGUUGGUAGUCAGGAAGUGCUCUGGAUUAUUGUUGCUGUCAAUUAUAAUUUUACCCAGGGCAUUGUGGACAUGCACAUCUUGACUUCCUUCACUAACCAGAUGCUCGAGGAACUGAGUGAGAAGGCGAAGUCGGUUUCUGGAAAAUAAUAUGGAAAGUUAGACUUAAGAUACCAAGUCAAGGAUAAUAAACACAAGAAAGUAUAAAUUAGGAUAAACCUCUUCUCACACUCCUCGACAAGAGGUUCAACUGGAAGUAAGGAACGAACAGAAAGGAUGAGACCUUUGAUGAAAUCCUCUGGGCAUUCAUCAUCCAACAAUUGCCCCACGACUAAGGGGGCAUUGCUAGGAUUCACCUAUGAAGAGAUACAUGGUGUAAAUGGAUGAUCAACUAAUCUAAUACAUUAACGAUCUGUUAAAAGACCCAGUACCUUCUGCACAUAACCUUCAAUAUAACGAAGCAUGUUGCUGGUGUAGAGGUAAUGAGUGAGAUCUGGGACAAACCCAAAGCGAUCACAAACAUUGAUCAGCGGACGAGCGUCAGGAAGUUUAGCUUCCAUCAGAAAGUUCUUAGUUUUUUCAGGGUCAUAGAAAUUGGAUUCUCUCGUCACACGCUCCACUUCUUUUAUCUGGCCAGUUUUUGCAGCAGCCUCAAUGUACUUGAAGUGAAUCUCAGGAUCCUCACUGCUCCAAAAUAAAUACUAUAUGGAAUUAGCAUCGUAAAAUUAGUUAACAGAAGCAGGUGUUUUUGGAAGUUACCUCAUACUGAGAUAUGAACCCAAGAAAAAGUACAGCCCUUCAUAUGACUUGAAUUGCUCGAAAAUUUUGAUACAUGAAUCCACUCCCAACUGCUCACAGUAUUCUUUGCAAGUCUGCAUAAACAGCUUACCCAUCAGUUUCAACCAGGAUAACUUGUUCUUGCAAGAAAAAAGUGUAUACGCACCUGCACAAUUAUCUGCAGAUUUCCUCUAAGAUUGACCAGCAAAAGGUCCCUCAUACACUCCAAAGCCCAUUCACAAGAAAGGGUACCAAAAAAAUCCACAAGAGCCUGAUAUAAAAUGAAAAAUUAGCCAUCCAUAACUUAUCACCAAUUGAAACCUAGCUCAAGCACUUGGAAUACCUGUGGUUCAAUUGCAUGGGUAUUAACAAUAACACGCUUGAUGUCUGGCAACUCCGAGUAGUGCUGCAUGGACCGUAGGGGAAAGUAUUAGUUAGCAAGUGUACUAAAAAAACAAAGAGAGAACAUACAUGAUAUUCCAAGAAACAAAGGUUUUAUUUACCUUAAGAGAUUGAAUGAACAGCCCAGCUUUUUCACAGAGUUGAGCAAUACGCGGACGAUCAUAGUGAGUGAACAUCCCAUUGGCAAGAAUUGCAUCAGCCACAUUGGGAAACGUUACCAAAUUGAUCUCGAGCACCUACAAGAGAAGAAUUGGCAGAAACUUGAGAUGAUUUAGGAAGCUUAUUAACUCACAGACUGUCAUAAUUCGAUGAAAUAAGUCUUGUUCUACCUUUGUCUGAAGAAAUCCAUGCUCAGGUAAAUUUGGUUUCAGAACAUCCAAUAAAAAUGCUGUGGCUUCUCUAAUCAAGUUCCUCUGCCACAAAAGAAAAAAGAGUCAGUUGGACCUUUUUAAGAGCACCUACACAGCCCUUUUUCGCAACAAAAUUCCAGUAAUUAAUCCCAAGUACCUGAAGAAAGAGAUCUGUGAUGGUAUUAUAAUCAACUGGGCAUCCUCCCUCCAUUUGGGACAUCAUUAAAGCAAAAUUCACAGCCCCCUGCAACUCGAUGUUACAAUAAUCAGGAAGUUUUUCACAUAACAUAAGAAAAUGUAAGACACGGCAUUCAAGGUAAAGGUACUAAGAGUAAACAACUUAAAUGUUUGUUAAAUAUAUGGUUUCUCAAGUUAUUAGUUGGUCUCCAAAGAUUGAUUCCACUGACCUGAGGAUCUGUUCGAAGAAUGGUUUGCAAGAGAAAUAGGUAGUCAGGCGUGUACCCAACCUAAAAAAGCAACAACAGUUCAGUAUUUAAAGAAUUUUAAAAAAUAUUCUAGCAAUAAUAGAGAAUUCAUGCUAUUGACCUGCUUCGAGUAGAUUAAAAUUUUGUCAAACUCCCUCCUUUCUGCAAAGGCAGCAACAACUUUGGGGGUCACCUUCGCUUUAAUGUAUAUUUUCAGUGCAAGAUCAUUGUCCACAGUCUGAAACGCAUAUUCACCAGAAUCAAGAGGUUAAAGUCAAGACUAUAAAGAGCAAAACAUUUUGUGUUUGAUCACAAGUCAAACCUUCACAAGGUCUCCUAGCGUCUCACUGCAUUCCAAUUUGUCCUCUGCCAACCAAUUUUCCAGAAGAUUCUUUUUAUUCUGAUUCACAACAAGGCGAGCAAGCUCCAAGGACUCAAACUCAUUAAGCUUCCCUUUAGUUAAAAGGGUCCCGAAGUACUGUAGCAGCGGAGGGGUUUGCCCAGCUUGAACAGGAACACUCUGACAAAAAUUAUUAACAGCAGUUAGUUAUAAAACCUGACAUUUCAAUCUUCCUAGCAGUGGAAGAGUAAAUCACAGGAAACAGUGAAAACCUGAAAUUUAGCAACUGUAUCAGGUGUUCGAAGGAUUCCCUGAGGAGAUUCUGCAGCAAGCUCAGCAGCCUCUUUAUACUUUGUUUGCGCAAAAAGCUCUUGAAAACGUUGGACAACCUAAGAUACAGGCCAAAAGAUAUCAACAAGAAAGAAGCAUAGCGACUUUAAAGGACUGGUGAAUAAGCAAAGAAGAUAUCAAUAUACCCGAAGCAAUGAUGUUAAAUCAGUUUUAGCAUCACUUCGAGGAUAGCAUAUUUUGUCUAAAUAUGAGAUGAGGUGAGUUAGUUAUACUUCCAAUGGAGGAAAACUUAUCUAUCAACUAUAGUUUCUCUGCAUCACAUCAGCCAUUUUUAACUGUGAAUCUUGCUCUGUAAAGGAUGCUUAUGAUAUUAUCGAAAAAGUGUUUUGCCAGUCAUUUUUAUUCUGCUCAGUUUGGUUCUCACGUUCAACAUCCCAAAUAAUCAUUGAUAGCAAUCACAACUACACUACUUGUUCAUCCAUUAAUAUACAAUAGCAUUAACGACAUGGACUAAGAUUACACAUACUACUUACCAAGUUUUCUGCUCCAGGAAGGUUUCCUCUUUUCGCAAGACUGACAGCGAGCUCUAAAUUGUUCAGCUGUAACAUGUGGGGCAGAUAUUAGGAUAGCUCUCCUACCAAGGAACAAUAGUACUUCAAAGUUAAAAAAUACCUGGCCACUAACAAAAGGCACUAUAGUUGCAUCAUUUACGGUUCCAAGAAGAACUUGCCCCCUCCUAUUGAUUGCAUAAAAACCCCCAACUGACUGGGCUUCAGAAGUUAAAAAUAUGGGAUCUGGACUUAUCCGAUUUCUGUACACAGCAGUCGCUGUCUCCAGAUCGUACACAAAUAGUAGCCCAAGCUUGGUGAUGACAUAUAUCAAACCGUAUUUAUGAGACACCUGAAAGAUGAUAAAAUAAACAUCGUGAAAUUUCCCAUUGACGUUUCUAGAAACAGAGGACCCAGAUUAGAGCUACAAACCUGCAUAGCAACUGGGAAAUCAUCUUGAAAAUCUGGAGGGAAAAAGAGAUCUGCUUGCUUCUUGCUAAAAGAUGGUUUACCUGGAGACGAAUAAAACAGUCAGGACUCAGGACUCUGGACUAUGCACAAGAAAAUAUUCGAUACAAUACAGACCACCAGAUAUGAUUCUUCUGGACACAAUAUAGUAAGAAUCGGUUUUUCAAAAGUUGAUAUUUCACAGGUUUACUUGCAGAGCCACACAAGAAAAUCUAUAACAAAGUUGAAACAAGCUUUCUCAUAAAGCAGAUGAGAGUGACAGAGAAACCAAAACCUGGUUGGGCACCAAGCUCAAUCACAUGAAGCUUAGAUGUGAUCUGCCCAGCAUUUACACUCUUGGUUGCAAAUGAGAUAAGGGUAGAAGGAUUUUCAUUUCCAGGGACCUGCUCGGAUAAAGCAAGUUGAAAUUUGUAUUCCAACCAAGCUGAAAUUUACAUAAAAGGGAAAACAAAAAUAUCAGUAUCUGACCUUAAAUUGAGCAAAUGAAGCAGCAUGAGCUUCAAGAGCUUGACUACGCUGCUGAUCCACAGAAAAAAGCUGCAUAUUCCCUUUCACCAAUUGCGGUCUCUAGAGAAUAAUGCAAUAACUUAACAUUAGAAAUGAAAAGUUGAACCAAUUCAGAGCAACAAAAUAAAUACUCGAUACGAAUUAUAUACAACAACAGACAAUAAAAUACAUAACCCAGUUACCUCAGGUGCACCAGGGGCAAUUCCGAUCAAAACUAGCCACUUUUCCGAGGGAUCACAUUUAUAGUUUAUAAUCUGAUUAUUUGCCAAGUUCGCUGUCCUAUCAAACAGCUUAACAGGUGCAGAAUCACCUGCACAGAGAAGAAAUAAAGACAUACAAAUCAGAACCAACACGAAAAGAAAUUUCCUGGUGCCAAGUUGAGAUAGAACUGCAGUAUACCCUCAAUCGACCAGUGAUAUACAGAGGUUUGUGUGACCAAACCCAACAUCUUUGGGGAAAUCCACUUCCAAAAGACGACCUACACAUUAAUGGGGUAGGCUAAAGUUCAAAUCCCAACGUGAUCAUAAACUAUCAUUGCUAGAUUAAGAAAUAAAAUCUCACCUGCUCAGGCAUCUGAUGUGAUUUUAUUUUCGAUUUAGCCUCAAUGUUGAAUAUUUGCAGAUGAUCCUGAGUGGUUCCUUGUAGUUGAGCUUUGAUAGAAAAAAAAAAAAAAGUUAACUACCUUCAACGAAAAAUUACAAAAUGGAGGGUAGUACAAACUGUAGAAUAGAAAGCAAAUUACAAAAUUUCCUCGACAUGGUGUCUCUUACGAUGCGAAGCAACAGUUUCGAUUCUGAUGCAAACUAACUACUGAUCAAGAAUGAUAGUACAUUUUGCACCCAACCUACACAGGGGUUAACCGCUUAACAAAGAAACUGAAAACGACAGAAAUGAUUUUUCCAAUAACAAAUUAUUAUUCUUGCCACUACACUAUCACUGUCAACAUGACUCAUGAAGCAUCCAAGAUUACUUUAUCCAGUUAAGCUAGCACCUGGUUUUCAACUAUAAGCAAACAGAAUUUUUUUCUCAUAUGGUACUACCUUUCAACGCAAGAAUCCUUGUAUUGGGAUUCAUUAGAGCAGAAUCUGCAGUGAUGGGUCUCCUCAAAGGCUGCGUAGGCAUACUCAUGUCUAUAAUCACAACACUGUUCUGUGGCGCUGUUUCUCUCACACAAAUGUACUUGUCCGACUCCAUUGUGACACUCGUAAAGUUAAUGGAUUGCGGAUUGAUCCCAACGCUCGUAAGCUGCAAACAUGCAUAGUAUAGUUCAGAACACUGACAAGUAGAUUUCUCUCACAUAUCUCAAAUCCGAAAAACAUUGUCCACUGCAUGACAGUUCACUAAACAAAAGCUAAAAGUUCUUCUCCUAGACAGAUCUGAAAGUUAUAAAUCCAGAGAAUAACUUGUUUGAAUUCCUCGCUAUGCCAAUUUCAAAGUGAACACCUUCGUAGACUAGCAUUUACUAUAGGAAUUAAGUCAAUUCUUCGAACACCCAAAUGUUUAAUUUAAAUUAGCAUCGAUUCUUCAAACUCAGUUACUGUGAGAGGGAGUUCUUCCAGAAGCGGAAACAAUGGCGGAUAGAAAAAUAUGAAAAGAAGAAAGAAACUUACCGUUAGGAUCUCCUUCAUGUUGAUCGGAGCGUUUGCAGCAGCCAUGGUGGUAAUGGAGGUACAGGGAUCAGAAAAUCACGAGCCAGAAAAGAAUUUCAGUAAGAAUAAAAGAGGGACUGUAACUGUAAAAAGGGGACAGGUGAAGAAGAAGAAGAGGAGAAGACAAAAUUUCCCAGUCGCUGCGAGAUCUAAGGCAGCGAUUUGCCCCUUCUCAAGUUACUGCAAAUGAAAGAAAAGUGAGAUUUUUUGCUUAAAUGACAUUUGACUAGAAGUGGAAAGAACCAGAUUUGGGUGACGAUAUUAAUGGGCCUAUGAUUUCUUAAUAUAGCCCAAUAGUGGGUUUUUUUACUAUUAGUUACUUGGCUAUUGGAAAUUUUUUUUAAAACUUCAACAAUACUAACACAUAUCAUUAUGCUAUAUGUCUAUGUUGAGCAUAUACAUAUCAUUAUGCUAUAUGUUUAUGUUGAGCAUAUACAUAUACAUGUUUUAAUUUUACUUACACACCGCGACAUAUUAAAAUUUGUAAAUGGUUAACGAAAUGACUUGCGAAUUUUCUGUCACUAUUCAAAAUCUUAUUAUAUCCAACACAAAGCAACAAAUGAAUACAUAUUGCCCUUUUAUGUAUAAUUUUCAACAACAUAUCGACAGCUUAAAGACACAGUCGAUGUGGGCAAGUUUUACCCAAUUAAUUGUCAAAAGAAACAAAAAAAUAUUUGGCAUCCUUUGCUUUCCACCUCACUCCAAAGUUCAAGUGUACAAAUACAGUUAAAAGCCCCUUCCAUUUUCAUCCUAAUAGAACACUCUAAUAAGCAUAAGAAAAAACAAAACAUUUGACAAUUACAUUUGGGAAAGAAAAAUUAUGAACAUCAUGAUAUCAAAAAAAAAAAAAAAAAAUUCGAGGCACCCGAUCGAUGGAGCAAAGAGGGAGAAUAAAAAUAAAAAAGAAAGAUCGAUAUUUCAACUUAUUUGGUCUCUUUGGUCACGAACGGGAAAUAAUACGUGUGUAAAGGAACUCAUUCCACGUGUCAGGUAAACCGGGAAGACACCAAUGGAUACAAUCGGCAUAAGUGUCGGGAUCAGCUUGUUGCUCCGGCGUCAGCAUUUUGCCUUGUCGGAUUGUGUGAACCGAAGUGUGGGCAUCUUUCCGGUAUUCGGAGAGUCUCGUAAUGUUGAGGAAGUAAACCGGAACUUUAAGAGAAUGCGUGACGUUUUCCGCUACUGAAAACAGCCUGUAGUCUGUUCCUACGCUGAACGGCAUUGACAUGUUUAGGAUCGGUGUCGUCUCCAAUGCACACUUUGUCCCAUCUGGAUUCUCCCAGUCCAAGCUCCUAUGAUAAUAACAAAUUGCAAAUAAGGAUAUUUUGUUAAUCUUCGUUACACCAACUCAUUUUAAUAAAUGAUUAUAGAGAAUUUAUUAUUUAUGCUAAUUUUGUAUAUUACGUAGGCUUUUCAAGAAGGACAAAGACUUGUUAUCUCUUUUUUCUAGUAGUUGCUUGGAUUUCAAGUUGCGGUACGUCCACAGGUUAAUAAUAUUUUUAGAAUUUGGUACUGAUAAAUGAUUGUACAUGUGCUUGUUAUGUGUUUUUGAAGGCAAAGAAAUAACUAACAGUCAUAUAUCUAUAACAAAGCUAACAGAAAAUAAGCUAAGCGCCAUUACAUAUUACAAUUGACAAUCUAUCACUAAUCUAAAAAAAAAUGAUCAACCUUCUCCUAUUUUGAAAUCGGUACUGGCAAGAAAACUAUGAAAAUAUGUUAAUAACUAAUUAUAAUGUUAUGUCCAGUACUCUCAUUUAUAUAUUUAUUUAGCAGGUCGAAUGAAUUAAGUAAGAAGGCGUUAUGUUCUAAGAAGCAAGAAAACACAUAUCACAUAUGGUACUCAGAUACUAAGCUAAAGUUCUAUGAUCAAUUAAUGGCCAUAUUUAUAUUAUUAUCUCUAACAUCUUUAUGGAGAUUAUGAAAUGGUGACACUAGUCAAACAUGGAGAGUGACCUCUCAAUUUGUCAGGUCAUAUUGCAAGCAAAGCAUCACUCGUUAAAAGAUCAGUUUAUUACUUAAAAAAUCGUAAUUAAGGAGAAGUAGAGAAAAAAAAAAAAAAAAAAGCAAAGAAGAAGAAGGAUUAAUUACUUGAUGUGGAGAGGAGACAUGCUAGCGAAGAAGACAGUGGUACGUAGAGGAUCAAUAUUGCGUUCCACCCAAUUUCCCCAAGUCCUUAACACUCUCUGGUACGCUACUGGCCGUUGGAUCUCUUCGUACUCAGUGUCCCCUUUAUCGAACGAUCCUCGUCUGCUUUUCAUCAAUGAUACAAAUCCCAAUUCAUGACUUUGUAAUUUACAUACACAUAUUGAUAUAGGCACCAUAAAUGUAAUUAGCACUUACAGGACUUUCAUGGCGAAUGUGUUCAUCCACCAGAUGUAAGUGUUGAAAACAAGAAAGUCAACGCCUUUCCAGUUGACUCCAUGCUUUUCGAUGGACUCAGGCAUUAUUAUACGGUUAAGUAUACUAUGCAUAUUUGGAUCAUCUGAAUUCGAUUCCACCAAAAAUGGCGCCCAAUAAAACUCCACCGUCGCAUUAUAAUCCUAUUAUUUUAAAAACCAAACCAAAAAGCAUAUAUUAAAUAACUAGAAAACAUCCAAACUUAACUACUCUCAAAAUCAGCAACUCCACCAAUUACAUUAUUUUAUAUCUAAUUACUAAUUAGUCGAAGUUUGUUAAUUACCUCGAUUCGGAAGACGGAGAGAGAACCGGUUUUGUUCAAGCUCUUUCGACCGGGAGGAACCACUGAUUGAACCAAACAAACCAUUGAUUCCCACUGAUUCCGGUUUAGCGAAUCCCCAACAAACAUCAUUCUCUUGUUUCGUAGCUUCUCUAGCAGCAAUUUCGCUUUAAACCUUCACCGAAUCAAACAAAACCAAGUGAAGUUAAGUUUAACCGUAACUAAAUCAACCUAAUAGUCAAUGCAAAAAAAAAACAGAGCAUUUUUUGGUUUACUUUGGUAAAGAACAAUCUCUGGGUUGCCAUCUCCAAUUCUGAUACAGAGAAUCUCUCCUUCCGUUCCUCAUGCAAGUCACUUGCGCCGUUAAGAACUCACAUUGAUCUUCUUUAUACAACGGAUGCGUCUCGUUAUCGAAAACCCAUUCUCCGGUGAACAGAUCGCACUCCUCCGGCGGCAAUUCAACGUCACCUCCGUCGUCUUCUUCCUCCGUCACAGCAAACAGUUCAAUCUUCUUCCCUUCCUCUGUUUUCAAUACUUCCUCCUGAAUUGCCUCUGAUUCUCUCACUAAUUCUUGAUCAGGUUCUGGGUUUUUGAUCGAUUCCCGAAUUGGGUCUGCGUUUCCCGCGGAAUCAUGUAUUGGGUCUGCGUUUCCCGUGGAAUCAUGAAUUGGGUCAGAGUUCUUGAUCGAUUCUUGAAUUGGUAGUGACGUAACCUCUUUGAUCGGUUUAGCCUCCUCUUGGCUUCCUUGGACGUCGUUAGGUUUUGAGCUGGAGAAAGGAAACUCGGCUAUGGAUUUGACGUCCUCGUUGUACAUGAAGAUCCCGAAGAGGAAAACAGAGAAGACGACGACGAAGAUCGAGAGAUUACUGUUCUUCCUCUGUUUCAUUGUCACUCCUGUUUCGAACAAUGGGAAUUUUCUUCUCCAGGGUUGCAUCUGAGUUAAAAGAAAGAGUGGAAGAAGAAGAGAAAUGAAAAAAAACAAAAACAAAAACAAAAACAAAAACAAAAUCGAGGCUCUCGAAAAUGUCAGUAUGUUUGUGAGAGAGGAAGAAAGAUCGAUGGGAAUAUAAGAGCAACGAAUAAAGGAUAAUUAAAAACAAAUCGAAAUUGUUAUAGUUAGCGUUAAUUAGUUUUGUGAUUAAUAGUUUGGUGAGGUGUGUUUAUCUUGAACUGGUUUUCAAAAGCUUUCUGGUGAAGAAUUUUUUUUUAAUCAAGUUGAUCAAAAAGCUUUCGCUUAACUAAUCUAUUUUCAAGUUGUAGAGUUUGGAGAGAAGAGUGGAUUCAAAGAUUCUAAAGAUUGUCUCAAUCUUCACCUAAAGAAAGGGACUAGAGAAACAACAAUUGUAGAAGCAGCAUUUUGUUAAUUAUACUUGCUUCAACACUUUUAGAAGCAUACUUCUUUUCAUUUUCACUAUCCACAUUAUUUCCUGCUUGCUUACCACCAGAGUUUAUGUUCGAUCCAUUUAUAUUUUCCGAUCAUGAAUUAUAAUGUUUUUUCUUUUAAUAAUUUGAGUAUUUCCUAAAUAUUGAAAAAUGAAACCUAUAUUUGCCAGUUUAACUAUAUAUGCGCAUUACUCACGUAUUUCAUAAUAAGUUCUUAGAAAAGGUAGUUUAGUAUUGAAACAUGUUUUCUGUUUAGAUACAUUAUACAAUAUAUAUCUAUGUUGACUACAUAUUAUACAUAUAUUAUACAUAUAUUAUACAUAUAUAUUGUAUACAGUAAAACAGAAUGUCCACAGCGGCCUAAUGACUACACACACACUCUAUCUCUUCUUCACGAAUAUGUGAAGGGUUCAAAUCCUGGGUAUGGUUGUUUCUCUAACCAAAAUAUAUGUAUAUAUAUAUAACCUCAAUUUGAUAUACUUUAACAAACAAACAAAAAACUUCAACUGGAUAGCCUUUGUUAUAUAUAUAUAUAUAUAUAUAUAUAUAUAUAUAUAUAUAUUCUUUAUCAAUGAAACAUAUUUAUAUAUGAAGAACGCAUCGAUAUCUUGCGUCUAAAUCCUAAACUAGUUCUAGCAUCUGUUGUUGUCUUACUUAGAAUUGGUUGUGAACUUGUGAUACAUUCACAUACUUUUAUGUUAAACACAAUUUUACUCCCCCUAAUUACCAAUCUAAGACUAGAUUAGCACCAGACUAUUCUUUCGUUUUCGAAAACAAUAAACUAAUCUUUCGUUUUCUGUAAUAAUCAUGCGCCCAUCGCUGUUGAGGGUGAAGCAUCCGUGUUCGUUAAGAGUGAAAUUACUAAAUAUUUAUAUUCAUUUUGCAAAAUAAAAGGAAAAUAAAAAAGACUGGUCAAGAACUCAAAAUGAUAUAAGAAGCUUUGUUUGGGAAAAUUAAAGGCUAAGGAAUCUCAUGAAACACACAUUGACACAUACAAUAUCAAUAUAUAUACGCACCAACCAUUACCAAUCCAUUUAAUUUACAUCAUCUGCUACUUCUUCAUAUAUGUAAUUAUAUAUAUUUAUUUUCUUGGUAGGUCGAUUGUGUAUACAGUAUACUUUAUCACGACUCCAUUUGGCUUUAGUUGUUAGUUUAAUACUUGAAUCCUUUUGCUUUGAACCAAAGCCAAAGGAACCCAACCAAAAGCUUUUGUAUUUUUGUUUGUGUGAGUCGGAGUCGGAUAAUAUACUUACCCAUUUUUAAUUCUAUGAUGAUUUUACCUAAAGCUCACCACGUGCGUAAUGAUGUGGCUGAAGCACACGUGCGUCCAAUAACAUAUUUGGCAUUCUCUCAUUAAAAACUUACAUUUAAAUUCCAAUCAAAGGAAAUUUGGCUUUGAACGAAUUAUCAACAACUAGAUCACCAUAAAUUGGGUUGAAGAUUUUUAUAUUGAAUUAGGAUCAAGUUGAUUCAAAUAUUUUUUCAUUAGUUUGAAUUUCCUAAUACGAGAGGGAGAUAUUUCUUCAUUCUUUCUACAAUACUUUCAGACCAAAUUUUAAGCAUUUUGAUAACUCAAUCGCGCACCAAAGAGUUCUAUAAAAAAAGGACGUCUGGCAGAUUUCAUCACUGAGAAGGCAAUAACAAUUCUAAUAAAUAAAUAAAAAAUAUAUAUAUAUAUAUACACUAUAUCGGAAUUGGUAUUGGUAUCUGAGUUUCGGCCAUAUAUACGGUUUGAAGUGCCUACAAAAUAAGAAAUCUCCGUCUUCGCUAGCUCAUUUGUGUAAGUAAUGGGAAGAGAGAAAGUAAAUAAUGUAUAUAUUAUUGCUUGACCAUACACAGUUUAAAAUUACAAGAAAAUGAAAGAAAACACAAAUCAACGAAUAUAGAGACUAAAAAGCUAUUAGUCCAUUGUCCAGUUAACUUUUUAUCUUUUCUUCUCGUAGCGACUACAAACCAUAUACUAACAACAGUAACAAUUAAAGAAAGUUACAAAAAUUAAAGAAUUAAAUUGCAGAGAUGGACCAAAACCCAAUUAUAAAAGCCCAUCUUUUCUUAGUGUGUUUACGCCACAGUCUGCUCCUUCUCUCUGUACAUUUGCUCAGCCCACGACAAUAUCCGAACCCUCUCAUUCAUCCCAAAGCCUCUCUCCGACACCACACUGUCUUUAACCAAUGAGUUAACCCACGACACAUCUGGCUCAUUCCUGUAAUCCCUCGCUACAUCGUUGUUGUUUCCAUGGAUUCCAAAAGAAACGCUUCUCCUCAUCUUAUUCAGCUCCUCUCCUUGCAUUCCCCACUCGAGCUUCCCACUCGGCGAUCCCCAAUCCGAGAGACUCGUUGGAGUUGCUGCUGCUUGAGCAGCUGGUUUGAAACUCAAGCUGCGUUUCGCAAACGCAGAUGAUCUAGCGUUCAUAACUGCAGCAGCCACAGCCGCAGAAGAAUCAAAACCAUGGUGAGAAGGUGCUGGCCUCACAGGGGAAGAUGGAUAAUGCUGGUUCAUGCUUUGGCCUAUCUGAGACUUCCUACUUGGGGAGGACACAUAAGACCCGAAUGUCUCUUCAACAUUACCAAAACCACGGAGUCUCAGUUCCAUCUCCAUCUCCAUAUCCAUAUCUCUAGCACUCAAUGUCGACUUCAAUCUGCUUCCUCCGUUAAGCUGCAAAGCCGGUGGAGUCAGAGUAUUGACUCUGUUUUGCCAUGACCCGCCGCUUCUUGGAGAUGAGCCAACACCGUUAGCCAUCGGAGAUACAGGAGGAGUCGAAACACCUGAAGAAUACGCAAGAGGAGACAAACACGGCAUCAUCUCCAAGCUGCUAAACGGAGACUGAGCCACUGCUGAGCCAGUUGAAGCAUUAACAGGUCUCAUCUCUUCACGUUUAUGCGCAAAGAAACAAACUUUCCUUGCACAACCCGUCUCAUCUUUACAAAGCCUAGUUUUAUACUGCGCCGGGUGAAGCCAAGACUCGAAAACUCCAUGAGCGUACUCGCAAGAAUCUCCUUUUGGGCAUGACCCUUUACGGAACUCGGGACAAGGGACACAAGUGUAAGGAUACUUCCUUGGAUCUCUCCUCCUCGCGUUCUCUCCAGGAUGCACAAAAGCACACUCGGUCCAAUCAUGGGAAUAAGCCCUUGAACACGGCUUAACCUUAAAGCUAUACAUCCUAAAUUCAUCACUUCCAUAAACACCUUCGUUAAUAUCAGGUAAAGAAGCAUCAGCUGGAUACUUUGACACUAUCUUGAUCUCUUCUUCUUCUUCUUCAACCGCUUCAUUGAUCAAUCCACCACCUCCUCGCAGCAACAUCUCAACGGUUUUCUUCCUCGGAGUAGCCACGAAUCUCGAAACCCGAACAAACAGAUCCAAAGGUUGAUUCCCAUUAGCAUCAACAGAGUUAGCCAAAGCAGAAGCAUCAAGCAAAGUGAUGAUGACUUCAAUCAUAUUCACGGAACAUCCAGCGACAGCGCAGUGAAGUGCAGUGACUCUCUCUUCACCGCAAGCUCUGUUCACAUCGGCUUUUCUAGUGGAGAUGAUGAAAUUCAAAACCUUUUUGCUUCCGUACAUAGCAGCAACCAUUAGAGGCGUCCUUUCUUCGAGACCCAUCUUAUUCGACCCGACCCGUUUGCAAUACCAUAACCCUGGCUGGUCCAAGUCGAGACCUUUCUCUUCGAUCUCUCUCUUGAACGAUUGGAGAUCAUCACAGGCGGCGAAUUCGAGGAGACCCAUGGUUUCUUCUUUCCUUAAUUCGAUUUCGGUUAGGGUUCUGGAAGAGCAGAGAUUGCUCUUUGGACCACUACACAUAAUAUAUCCUGUAAAUUCAGAAAAACGAUUGAUUGAUGAUGAGAAACUAAUAAAGAGAAUAAAUAGCCGCAAUAGAAACUGAAUUUUAAGCUCUCUUUCAAGUUGUUACUUUUUCUAAUUUCUAAGAUUCUUAUGCUGAAUUUGAUGCCGCAAUUUUAGCGGAUAUGAUAAAGUAUAACGUACUUUCUACUGCCACAAGCUAACGAUCGUUUCUACUCAAAUACUUUUUCUCUCCGUUGAAAAGUUCCAACCAAAAAUUUUAAUUUUUCAGAAAAGGGGUCAACGAUAAAGAAAGAAAUUUAGAGAUUUCAGUUCAGUAAAUGAAAAACCAAACAACUCAAAAUCCUUUAGUUUCUAGAGAAAGCAAAACUUGCAAGCGAAAGGACAUUGAAAGAAAAUUCCACAGAAGAAGAAAAAGACACAAACCUGGAAUGAAGUGGGAAAGAAUACAAAUUGAAGAAAGUUGGAAGCUUUGUUAGAGAAUUAGGUGAUGAAGAUGAAGAAACUAGUGAGAAAUAGGUUGGGGUUUUUAAGAAGAAUGGGGGUUGAGAGUUAGAGGAGGCUUCUUAUAUAAAGGUGCUUCGUUGCGAUGAAGGAGAGAGGAAGGUGCGCUCUUUCUUUCCUUUACUUUCUUGGUCUUCCUUACUUUAUUUUAUCCCUUUAAUUAAUUCAUAUAGUUUCUCUAUUCUCAUCGUCAAAUAAAUGUUUUAGGUCAAAAAGUCAAAAAGGCGAAACCAAAUUUUCAAAGGCGAAGAUGUCGCUCUUCUGCUGACUGUUCCUUCUACUGAAAAUCCGUCUUUUUUUUUUCCUGGAAACUGAUAAGGAAAUCAACUAAUUUUACUUAUUUUAUUAAUAAAAUAUAUUUCAAAGCUGUUUCAUAAUAUUGAUUUUUUUUUUGCCUAAUAUAGUAUGUGGGUGGAAAUGAUAAACUGGAGAGUGUAAAAAGAGAGGGACCCACCACUAAAAAACUGACUGACUAAACCGGUAACACGUCAACACGCGUGUGCGAGUCCCACCACAAGACACAAACACGCGCUUUUCAAGUUACCAGUCAACUCCCUACUAGUUGCUUAAGUUUGAGCUGUCUUUGUUUCCAUCAAGAUCCGAGCCAAAAACUCCAAAUACGAACUGAUUGAUUAUUUAUGUUAGGCCUUUUACUUAUUUAGUUGAAACAAAUCUAUCGUAUCAUAUAAUUUGAUUUCGGUGUAAGUCCAUUUCAUUCUAUCUUGGCUUUACGUUUCGGUUAUUCCAAAAUCCACCAACUUUGCAUUCCUUUUUAUCUAUUUCGAAUUAUAUUUUAUAUUUUCGUUCAUAAUUUAUGGAGUAUUUUUUAAAAAAAGAAAAAUACAUGCUAAUUUUUUGAUAUUGGAUAUUUCAACAUGUUCCUAAAUAAUCUUUUUGUUUAUUCAUACGCGUAGGGAGAGAGCGCGUGUAGGAGAGAAAGAGAGUCAAAAUCAUGCACGCCUUCGCUAAUCUUCUUCGUUCCCUUUUAAGUGGGCGACAAAAAUGUCUUUCACUUGGCUGCUCUCUCAGUUUCAUCUUCCCUUUACUUUAUUUGCGCACUACUAGCUAAAAUUAUUCUUCCAAAUCUUUUACGAUAAUUGUCAUUGAUCACACACCAAACAUGAUUGUUUUUUUCUUAUUCUUUUAUUUGCUAAAGCGAUCAUGACUGUGGGAAUAAUAAUACAUAUAUGGACUUCAGGACUUCGGCAACUUGUGGCCAUAUUAUCCUAUGUACCAAGUGGGUUGAUCAAGCGACAAAACUUGGAAAAUAAAAUAAAGUAGAAGACUGCAUGCAUUCGUGGUCAAAAUCACUAUUACCAUAUUUAUAAUGCUCAUCUUCCAAUUAUUGGGGCUUUUCCUCUCAUUUAUUUUUCACAUCACAUUGUGUGUAUAUCAGAUUUUUGACUACAUAACAACAUAUAUACAAAAUAGUAGGAUGACGGAGGUGUCAUUAGAAUAAGCCCAAAAACAUACAAACAAGUAAAUUAUGACUUGGAGGUGUCAUAUAUUCCAUUAUAGUACUCGUGUAUUGUCUACAAUAUAAACACGACGUGAAUUGAUUAAGAAAAUAUUUCUGAAAAAAAAAAAUUAUGGGCUUGCGAUAUGGGCCAUAUGGCAUAUGGGAACUAUAUAAAGAUGGUUAAAGAUAUAGAGAACAAAAUAUAUUUAUUUAUGAUCGCAAAGCCCACUGUCGUCGUUGCACCUUGCAAAUUUUUGUGUAUCUCCCACUAACCGAAAAACUGUUUUGUUUAACUAAAUUAUCUUUACUCCACUUGAGUUAGUAUUAAAAAGAGGCUUAGGAGCCCGAUUAUAUUACAUUGUUAAUUAUUACAAUAUCAGAGACAUAAGGAAUGAAUUAUACUCCCUCCGUUUCAUAAAAAAUGUUAUUCUGACAUUUUUCACACAUAUUAAGAAAAUUAUUAAAGUACAAUUUUAUCCCUUAUUAAUACAUUAAAUAAUUUGUUUUUAUCUAAUAAAUACAUUAAAUUAAUAUGGUUAAAACUGGAAUAUUGUUUAAAAUUUUGCAUUGAAAAUAUAAAACGACACUCUUUGUGAAACAAAAAUAAAACCUUAAAACGACACUCUUUGUGAAACGGAGGGAAUAUCGUUAAUUUAUGUUUCAACUUUUAACUAAUUGAUCGCUAAAAAGGUGUAAGGAGGUUGAGAUCAAAUGUGAUUGGAAGCUGAAACCCAUGCCGAUCCCGAGUUUACCAAACAAAAUAUGGCCUCAUAUUGUCAUAAAGAGAUAUAUCCAAAAAAUUAUUUAAUCGGGUAAUUUUUCUUUAACUACAACGAAUUAUUGGAUUUUAAAUAAAAUGCAUACUAAUUACUUAAUUAGAAAAACCAACAAUUAAAUGGACUACGUACUUUGAACAAAGAAAAAAAAAAAGAUGAAGCAGGCACGAGCUACCGUAAGUUAAGCUCUACGCCUCUACCUCCAGCUCGAAGCCCAGGCCAGUGAUUUUCAUCUAUGAAAACGCUUUUUUAAAAAAAUAUAUAAUAGAGUGAGUUCCUAAUUGCUAAUUCGGCCCAAUGUAACCAAAUACCAAUAUAUUGCUCAUAGGCCAUUGGGUUUCUUAAUUAUGACUUAUGACCCAAUGUUAUAUAGCUGCAGCUCAUCUGAGUUUUAUCGUUUGACUUUAGCUGCAUGUAACUUUAGCCCUUUAAAAAGCGACAAUAUGCUUCACAGUUCACACCUUUCCGCUUUGAUAAUUGGUGUAUAUAACCGGUGUUAACCAAAUUGUUAAAUAAUCGAUUUUCCAGCUUAUACAGCACGUGCCCAAUUAAUUCCACAAUGAAAGUUAUCCCGGAGUUGCGUAGACAACUUGUACUAUUCAAUCUUUGUUUUUUUCUACUUUAUGAUUCGUUUCGUCAAUAUGAAAAAUCAUUAUUAUCUUUAAUAUGAUUUUAUCCAGAAGAAGAACUGGACAUACGCAAUGUCGGAUUAAAAUAAUAUACUCUAUAAGGAUUUUUUUUUUUUCGGAAUACUACGCUAGAAUUUUCUUUAACAACUACUGAUCCAAAGCUGCUCUAGUGUCGGGUUAGUUUCAAUUGUUUUUAAACGGCAAGUUUCAAACGUCAAUGCUUACUUUAGGGUUUACGUUGAAAAGUAACAAGUUACUUGAGAUGAUGUUUAGAGUUAUGACUUAUGAGCUUUGUUAACCAAAAAAAAAUGCUAACAAAUUCUGUUCGACGUAAUGGACUCCUCUUGCAACAUCUUUUGCAUAAUGAAAAAGCAAUGAACCGAAUCAACAUAAUAUCAAGUUAUCAACCAUCUAUUUCUGAACAUGCUUUUCCUUUUUUUUUUUUUUUGCGUGUGUUCUUAAUUAUAUUUAUUUAUACAAUUUUUGUUUGUUACUAAAAAAUUAAAAACUAAUGAAAUGAUUUCUCGGUUUAGUACUAGCUAGGUCUUUCGAUGAGAAAAAAAUAAAAACAGAUGCGCUAAACAGAAGGAUUUCAGGGUUGUUAAGGGAGUUCGGUUUUUCGAUUUGUCGAGACUCCUCUUAAUCCACUGUUAACGCAGACAUAUAAAUCACACUAAACUCUUUUAAUCUAAUGUUCUGUUAAACUUAUACAUCGGUCUUUAGAACCAAACAUUCAUGAAAUAUAUUUAGAUUUUAACCACGGACUUCCUAUAGUUUAAGCGCACCACCGUUUAAUAUCGACACACUCGACGAGAAAACAUUGUAAUUUCCAUUAAAAAAUAUAUUUAUUUAUUGUUUUCGUUUUUUUUUUCCUUUUUUAUUUUAAAAUAGGGGAAAUAUAAGAGAUAGGCACAAUGGGUGUAUUUUAGUAUUUGUUUAGUUGGUUUCGAUUAACUUUAUUUUAACCACAUCUACAAGUAUGUAUGUUGGUGUAAAACUUCUAAAGAAUAUAUAUAUAUAUAUAUAUAUAUAUUAUAUUAGGAACCGAACCUAAACACAUAUUAAAAUAAAGUUAAACCAAACCAACUAAACAAAUGCUAAAUAUCCAUGCCUAGCUCUUUUACUUCCCGAAUUUUAAAAGAAAAACAAAAAAAAUAUAAAACAAUAAACACACAUGUCUUAUUAGUAUCAUUAACUUAAAGCCCAUAAAUACAUAAUUAAUAGUAUCACUUAAAGCUCAGAAAUACAGUAAUCUAUGGUGUAGAAGUUAAUUAUCUACGUCAAAAGUUAAUUAUCUUUUUACAUCGCUUAAUUGUGUUCUAGAACAAUUUUUUUCUUUUCCAAAAAAGGUUACAUGUCGAUAUCACAUGGCUACGACGGAUGAUUAGACUAUCGCAACUGGCCAAUCAGAAGGCGACUCCUGCUCAAUCAGUUAGACGUGGCUUAUGCCUAUUGGAGGGCAAUGAAGAACAUAUCUUCUUUGUUUUCUGGGUUCUUCUAUUUGUUUAGUUGUCUAUCAUCUCAACGACCAAUUCUCCGACAAGACCAUUUUAACAAGGAAAUUAGGAAGAAAAAAAGACUUCGGGUUGAAUUUAGCUUUCACUUUCAGUCUUAAGUUUUUCCAAAAAAAAAAAAUUGUUACAAGACCAUAAUCCAUUGAGUUUUCCUAACCAAGGAAUAGAACCAGUGUAGGCAAAGCACCAACUCUACAGUUGAGUUAUAUGAUUAAUAUAUCGGUUUAGAAUUAGAGAUCAGUAUAGCACUAUUACCAUUGGUCGUCAACGAGGCAAAGGCGUUGGUCUUCACAAUUAUUAUGGGAGGUAAGAAAUUCUGAUUCGUAAUUUUAAUAUUUCUAUCUCUGAAACUAGUUAGUUGUCAGAAUCAAAUAUUGUUGUCAUGUUUUUUCAUUUUGGCACAUGCCAACAUUGCCAUUGAUAGUGCAUAUAUAAAUGACGUAAUUAAAUGUUUUGGAACAUAUAAAGAAAUGUUCAAUUUCAAUGCAGAAUAAUUAGAUAACGUCGUGCCGAAUUUGGUUACGGCGCCGAAAUGCAUACAUAUGCAGUUUCCAGAUGACCUUAACCGCUUAUUGGUUUCUUUUGGGAUCAUAACCAUUUUUUUUUUUGUUAAAGGAUCAAGACAAUUUUCGAUAAUAUAUAAAAUCUCAAACCGAAAAUGUGUCUACAUCUGCUUUGUUUUCUUAUUUAUGAAUGCUCUUCAGAUUGCCUUGCCUUUAGAGUCAAGGCCCUUAACCAAUUUGCAAUCUUCCUUCAUUUAGGUGGAUCAGACGAUAAAAAGGAGGACUUAUUUGUUUUGAUUUUUCAAUCAAUUAUGUUAUAACUCUACGUAACUCACACAAAAUUAAUUAUCUAUUAGAAAAUUUUAUAUUAUACAGAAUUUUUGGCUGCAGUAGACUUUUUCCAAUCACUUAAAAAAUUUUAGGCAAAAAAACUAACCUAUCAGUAGCUUGCCAUAUCAUACUGAAAUUUCAAACUUAUUGUGAUUUUUUUUUUUUUUUAUAGUGGUUGGAUUUAGUUUUCUGGUCUUGAGUGUAGUUUGUCAUACUGUUCCCAGUUUGGGACUGUUGACUCUUAGAGUGUCUUGUACUGUUGGCUUUUGUCUAUAGAAUGGAUAUAUCAUAUAUCCCUUGUUGGCUUGCUGUAGGUCAAAACCGAAUUUUAUUAAUGGAAGAUUACUUAGUUGAAAAAAGAAAGAAUGAUCCGGAUUUCGGCACGUGAAGGAGCGAGCUUCAACUUGUUGUAUAAGUACCAGACUAAACACAAUCAUCCGACAUUACAAAUAAACCCGACUAGCUAUAAGAUAGGUUGAUUUAGCAAAAAAAAAAUAAACAUUCCAAUAGAUUAAUUCUAGGGUCCAAACUCAGUCUAGCCGCCUACCAUAAAUAUCAUAAUUUUAUCGGAUUGGAGGGAGCGCAACGCCAGGAUCUUCUCCGCCACUUCUUCCCAGUCUUGGUCGUUCGUGCGGCCGUCGACAGGAUGAUAAGGACCGGCUCCUUUCUUUUCCAGUCAGGAGCCUCUCUUAUCCUUCUUUGCUCGAGCUUUAUUUUAGUUUCCUUGUUCCCUAAUAUUCUUUUUCUGUUUCUUUUCCUUUUUCUUCUUUUGUAAUAAGUGGUCUCUCCACAACAAUGUAAAAUCUUAAAAGCUGGUAUGAAAUCUUAACAUUUUCGACCCAAAAAAAAAAAAAAAAAAAUCAUAAUUUUGUUUCUAAAGGAAGGAACUUAGGAUAUAAGACCAUAUCCUCAUCAAAAACAUUGAGAGCCCUUCACAUUUUUUAUUUGAGUUGUUAAUGAAUAUUUUAGAUUAAAAUAUAAAAAAAAAAUCUAAAAUNNNNNNNNNNNNNNNNNNNNNNNNNNNNNNNNNNNNNNNNNNNNNNNNNNNNNNNNNNNNNNNNNNNNNNNNNNNNNNNNNNNNNNNNNNNNNNNNNNNNGUUUUUCUUGUCUUCAAAUUUAUAGAAACUCCGAUUUGUUUGUUUUCCAAACAGCAUCUGCAUAUAUAGUAUGUCAUUUGAUUUCAUAUCUAGGAUGUAAAUUCUUCUAUUUUAGUCUAGGAUUUUAAUUUCACAUAUACUGCACCAAAAAUUAUGUAUUUAAUACAAGUUUGUCUUUGCCAUUGCUUAAUUUUAAAUAGUCAUAUAUAAAACGUGAAAUUUCAAUAACUGUCCCGUGGCAAUUGGCAUCGACAUUUAUAUAACGUCGGCCUCAUCAUGACACUUUUAUUUUCCUGUGGUUAUAAAUUGAUAGGUUGUUAAGUAUCUAUCCAAUAGAUUCCCGUUUGUCGUUUGUACAUUGUUAUGCAUGCAUGUGUCUAAACACUGACUCGUUUUUUUUUAACAAGAUUUUUCAAUAUAAAGCAAAAACAAACACUGACUCGUUGAGAUAAUAAAAUAUGUACAUCGAUUUGAAUAACUAAUCUCUCGAUUACUAAACCCAACGCUUUGCUUUGGUCCUAAUAAAGUAACUAAACCGACUAAAAUAAUUAUUCAAAUAUGUUCAGAAGAGGACUCGGAUCAAUCAUACAUCUCUUAUGAUAUAUGUGUGUAUAGUGCAUAUGGACCUAAUUAACUUGCGUUUGAAUUUUGUUAAAACUUUAUGUUUAGUUUUAUUUUUCAAUAGCAUAACAAUUACUCUUUUAAACUGAAUAUGUUAACACGUAAGAAAUUAUUUUAAGAAAUAAUUGUAAACGCAGCCGCGAAAAUAAUAUCAAAAUACAGAGUAGUAAGGACAAAGGAUGGCAAGAGCUUUGCUUCAAUCACUUGUAUUUUGUUGUGAAAUUCAGAAUUAAGCAUACAAAUGUUUUUUUUUUAAAUAAAAUCUGAGCCGAAGUUUCUAUUAAUCAANNNNNNNNNNNNNNNNNNNNNNNNNNNNNNNNNNNNNNNNNNNNNNNNNNNNNNNNNNNNNNNNNNNNNNNNNNNNNNNNNNNNNNNNNNNNNNNNNNNNNNNNNNNNNNNNNNNNNNNNNNNNNNNNNNNNNNNNNNNNNNNNNNNNNNNNNNNNNNNNNNNNNNNNNNNNNNNNNNNNNNNNNNNNNNNNNNNNNNNNNNNNNNNNNNNNNNNNNNNNNNNNNNNNNNNNNNNNNNNNNNNNNNNNNNNNNNNNNNNNNNNNNNNNNNNNNNNNNNNNNNNNNNNNNNNNNNNNNNNNNNNNNNNNNNNNNNNNNNNNNNNNNNNNNNNNNNNNNNNNNNNNNNNNNNNNNNNNNNNNNNNNNNNNNNNNNNNNNNNNNNNNNNNNNNNNNNNNNNNNNNNNNNNNNNNNNNNNNNNNNNNNNNNNNNNNNNNNNNNNNNNNNNNNNNNNNNNNNNNNNNNNNNNNNNNNNNNNNNNNNNNNNNNNNNNNNNNNNNNNNNNNNNNNNNNNNNNNNNNNNNNNNNNNNNNNNNNNNNNNNNNNNNNNNNNNNNNNNNNNNNNNNNNNNNNNNNNNNNNNNNNNNNNNNNNNNNNNNNNNNNNNNNNNNNNNNNNNNNNNNNNNNNNNNNNNNNNNNNNNNNNNNNNNNNNNNNNNNNNNNNNNNNNNNNNNNNNNNNNNNNNNNNNNNNNNNNNNNNNNNNNNNNNNNNNNNNNNNNNNNNNNNNNNNNNNNNNNNNNNNNNNNNNNNNNNNNNNNNNNNNNNNNNNNNNNNNNNNNNNNNNNNNNNNNNNNNNNNNNNNNNNNNNNNNNNNNNNNNNNNNNNNNNNNNNNNNNNNNNNNNNNNNNNNNNNNNNNNNNNNNNNNNNNNNNNNNNNNNNNNCUUCGGGGAAUUGAAUCCUUAUCCGAAAGCAACCUCCAAGCCAUACCAAACUGCUACGUCAAGCCUCUGUCUCAACGUCCAAACUUACUCUCUACCAACCACCACCACAACAAACACAACCCUCGCACCACCAACAUACCCGUCAUUGACUUAGGUGGCUUAAACACAAACGACAUAACUCUACGAGCCAAAACGCUUGAUGAGAUAUCGAAAGCGUGUAGAGAAUGGGGGUUCUUUCAAGUGGUGAACCAUGGGAUGAGUCCUCAACUCAUGGACCGAGCUAAAGAAACAUGGAGAGAGUUCUUUCAUCUUCCCAUGGAGCUCAAAAACAUGCAUGCUAAUUCGCCGAGAACUUACGAGGGAUAUGGAAGCCGACUUGGCGUAGAAAAGGGUGCUAUUCUUGACUGGAGCGAUUACUAUUAUCUUCAUUAUCAUCCCUCAUCGUUGAAGGACUACACCAAGUGGCCUUCUUCGCCUCUUCAUUGCCGGUAUAUUUUAUUCCCAUAAUUCUUCUUGCUUAGUUAUUUAUAGUAUUUAAAUUUCUUUUAUUCACGUUUGCUAAGCCUUUCCACUUAUUAAAAUUAAACUUUUUCUAAUCCUAUUUAUGUAACUUUUACUUCAAGGUGUAUCAAACCUAGCUAGGAUUUCUUUUUUUAAUAGUAAAUAAAUUUUGUUAAAUAGAAAACAAAAACCGACGUACUAGUACGACUAAUCAGUUGAUUAUUUAUUCAUAACGCAAGUAUACAUACGAAAGAUAAAUAUACUAGUUGCUUGACCGGGCUAUAUAUUUAAAUUUUUUUCAAAGUAGUCAAAAGAUAACAAAUAUAAAAUUUAAUCCACGGUUAAUUGUUUAUUUCUUUUUUUAUUUUUAUUUUUGAUCAAGAUUGUUUUUUUUCUUCUUGUUAUUGGAUUAUAUAGAGAGAUAUUGGAGGAUUAUUGCAAGGAAAUGGUGAUAUUAUGUGAGAACUUGAUGAAGAUAUUAUCGAGAAACUUGGGAUUACAAGAGGACAUACUUCAAAAUGCGUUUGGUGGUAAAGAGGAAUCAGGAGGAUGUUUAAGGGUUAAUUAUUACCCAAAAUGCCCUCAGCCGGAGUUGACUCUCGGUCUCUCUCCCCACUCCGAUCCCGGCGGAUUGACCAUUCUCUUGCCGGACGAACAAGUCGCCGGCCUUCAGGUCCGUGGAUCCGACGACGCUUGGAUCACUGUCGAACUAGCUCCUCAUGCUCUCAUCGUUAAUAUUGGUGACCAAAUUCAAGUGAGUAUUUAAUUUGGUUGUUGUCAUAUUAGUUAUUUUUUAAUAUCUAGUGAAUUUAAAACCGAAAAUCAUACUAGAAACUAUGAUAUCUAAACGUCUACGAAUUCGCCAAUCAUAAGUAAAAUCGUUUGGGAAGAAUCAAGCCUUCUAUACUAAUUACUAUCUUGGCUUUUGAUUAUUAGACUAAAAGUAUAUAUACAUGUAAUGAAAAGUUGACAAAAAGGUAUAAAUGUAAGGAAAAGAAAGUAAAUAUCACGUGGAGGGACUUCAUUUUCUUCUUCUUUUUUCCUUGUAGUUGUUAGUAAUAAAGCACGUGCAUGCAUCUAUUUUCUUCUUCUUUCGUUUUAUUUUUAUUUAAACUAAAGUUUAUGGCAAAUCAAUAUGGUAUUGGUGAAGCCACGUUGCCAUAUUCUUUAAUUCUGCAUGUGCCUCUCUAUUAAAGGGGGAAAAAAAAAACUCCAAAUAAAGAAACAGAAAAACAGAAAAAAACAAUUUCAACGACUAAGACGGGCUCACAAAUAUUCACACAUGUGUUAAACGUCCUAAAACUAAAACCGCCUACUUAGUCAAAGAAUAAAUAUCUCUUCCUUUUUUUUUUCGGUUUUGGUAUUAUAGCUAGUACGGAUAACAUUUUACUUCAGUUACUUCGUUAAACUAAUUUUUUUAAGGGCUACAAAAAUAAAUUUACCCUUUUUAAGGAUAAAAACCAUAUCCUAGUCGUUUAUAUUAGUAUUGUUAUUGUAUCAUCUGGUUUAAACCCGAUAUAUUGCAUAUUACUGAUAAAAAGAAUUCCAACGACUACCAAACAAAUAAAUUUUUUUUUAGGAUAGCUAUUCCAUCGUGAAGUCAUUUUUGUAUUCUAUAUCUCUUGCAUUAUUUCGAUUGAUAGAUUUUAUAACGAACGAUGAACAUUUUGUUAUUUUGGUUAGAUGCUGAGCAAUUCAAUAUACAAAAGCAUAGAACACAGAGUGAUCGUGAGCCCCGCAAAAGAGAGGUUGUCUUUGGCAUUCUUCUACAAUCCAAAGGGUAAUGUUCCGAUCGAGCCAUUGAAGGAGCUAGUGACAGUUGAAUCACCAGCUCUGUACAUCUCCACAACCUACGAUCAUUACCGUCAGUUCAUUCGUACGCAGGGUCCACGUAGCAAAUCUCAUAUCGACGAACUUAGAUCCCCUCGAUAGUAGAAGAACGUGCAUACAUUUUAAUUAUAAACGUUUUCUUUUUGUCUAAAUAAUGAAUUAUGCUUGUUGUCAAAAAAAAAAGAAGAAGAAUUAUGCUUCUUUUUAUCUGUCAAAUUAAGGAUUAUAAUUUAUUGUGUGUUGCUAUGCGAGUAUGUUAACAUUAUGUUGAAUAAUGAACUAUGUUUUUGUAUAAAUUAAUAAUGUAUUAUGCUUUCCUUUAAUUAAAAGAAAUCGAGAAUUUAUUCGGGUCGAAAACCAAAGGAUGAACUUAGAGCCCUUCUCAGUUGCAGCUGCUCGAACUCAAUGUACUUUCCGACUAGUUCUUGUACGCACCGGUUAAACUACCGACCCGGAAAAUGAUAUAUUGGAUUUAUAAAUAUAUAUAUAUAUAUAUAUAUUAUAUGAUUGAAAAAAGGCUUCUCAUAAAUUUGGAAUAAAAAAGACGAGAAAUUAUCGAGGACGUUUUAAAAUUUAGACACGCAAAACACGUACGUCGCGAUCAAUAAAUAAAAAAAUGAGAGCUUUGACCUCAUGCAAAUGCAGCCCACCCGUUAUAAGUUUAUAACCCUAUUUUGAUUGUUACGUACCAAUAAUAAUUGUAAAGAAGCCCUACCAUGCUAGUACUACACUCCUCUAUAAUUAAUUAACUAACUCACAGUGUUUGAUUGAUGAUUACGUUAUAGCAAUGUUCAAAAAAUCGCUAGGCGGUGGCUAGGCGGAUGAUAGGAGACUAACGCCUAGGCGAAUUAGUCAGAGACUAGACGGAGCCUAGGCGUUAGCAAAAAUUUUUGUUAAUUUUUAUAAAUUUUCAAUCUAUAUAUCAUAUUUUUAAAAAAGCUUUAAUUGUUUUCUUAAAAAUUAUUUUAUCAAAAUUUAUGUUUGAAUAAAAAAGUAAAAAAAUUUAAUAAUAAAAUUAUAGAAUAAAGUUCAACAAAGAAAAAUCAAACUAAAAAUCAUCAAAUUCUUCAAACUAAAAUAAGUUUUAAUCUAAAAACUUUAAAAAUAUAAAGCAAAGAGAAAUAUAUCUAACUUAUUCUUCAAACACAUCCAUAUAUAUCCACCACCCGCUCAUUUUCAGACUCAAAUUCAAAAUCAAUAGCUAUAUCAUUUUCAUCGUCGGAAUCGAUAUCUCCUCUAGGCUCAUCGUUGAAAUUGAAAGUUGAAACUUGAAACAGAGCACAAACAAAGUAUACAAAGAUGAAAAGACAAAUUAAGAGAAUACAAUAUAGUUAUAUAAUAUGUACAGAUAGAUAAAGAGAAGAUUAAACAAACUUGUAGAGUUCAACAAUAGAGAAUAAUGAUCGCCUCUUGUAGUUUAUGAAAGUAAAGUAGCGGGGAGGAACGAGGAUGAUUAUUUUAAGUUAUUAACCAUAAUCCAUGUUUCAAAUCUUUUUUUUAUAUCUUUUCUGUAAAUUGAUAUUGGUUUACUAUCUAAAACCGUAAAAUUUGACUGAAAAAAGGAUAAAAAUAAUGAAUCUAAUUUGGCCGAUUUUACCGAUUUGAUCUGAUUUUUCCGAUUUUCUUCAAUUUGGUCUGAUUUUUUACUAAACCGGAUUUGCUUUACUGAUUUUAUGAAAAAUCGGAUCGGCUAACCCCAACUUGAGGCGGCCGCCUAGUCGCCGACUAGGCCGAUUUUUUGACCAUUGCGUUAUAGUAAGUUACGUGGCCUUUUUCUAAUAUAUCAUUAGUUGUAGUCUAUAGUGGUUUUGAUUGGAAAUAUAGUUGGCGGCUAGUGGCUACGAGUCUACGACCAGUGUUUUGUUCACUGCUGUUUGUGUGUAAAUAAUCCACCAAGCGACGAAGGCAAAAAAAGAGACAAAUAAUAGCCACGGAAAAACAUGUAAGGUAGUAGUUCUUUUUUUGUUUUUUUUUCUACAACUGUAAAUAUCAUUAAUUUAAUGAAAGUUAGAUUUUACAGUAAGCAUAAUCUUUUUUUUUUUGGUCGAACAAUAAACAUAAUCUAAGAGCUGCACUUCCUUGGCAAAAAUAAGUAAAGUAAAGAAGUAUUUGUUUCGGCUGUACCGUUAUAGUCGUUUAUCGUUACUGUGUCAAACCAAACCACUUCUAUGAUCUAUCAGUUCUAUAUUACCUUUUUUUUUACCGUUUUCCCAAAGCUUAUUUGAUUGACCGGAUUCAUUUAAGGAAAAAGAAAGGCAGCUAUAUUAUUAAACCUUAAAAUUUUCAAACACUCGCUACAAAAUUGAUGAUCAUCUUCAGCUUUGAAAUGACGCUUCGGCUUCAAAAAUAUUGCUUUUUUGAAAACAAUAGUUGCAUUUGCAAAGGUUUGGAUCAUCUCUUACUAAACCUCAAUUCGUUCAUCAAUUUUUGUUGAAGGUGGGAAGAAAUCUACAAUCACCUGAUUCGUAUUGGUGGAGAAUUUUGUAUCCGACGACGAAUAAAUAUAAUUUUGUUUUAAUCUUUUGCUCUCUCAGGUUUCCCAACUUUUUUUUGGUUUGAUUUUAGAUUAUGGGGUUUUCAUAGAAUUUAAUGAGAGAAGUUCAUAAAAAUUUAAUAAUAUUAUUUUUUGAAUUUCAGAAAGAUGAAGAAAUUAAAACACAAUUUUCGGUCAAUCAUACGCUGGUGAAGAGUCGGUUUCUUUAGACUUUUUAGGAAGAAUUGGUUCAUCGAAAAUGAUUAUUUUUUUUAAAUCGUUUUGGCCUAUUAAACUGGGCCAUGAACCCCAUCUAAUCUCUUGAUAGAUAUGCUUUAAGUAGCCCAAUAACACGAGUUUAGUAAAGACCCAAAUUUAAAAACCUAAAAGUGCCCCAAAUGGAGAUAAAAGCUGAAAAGUCGAAUCAAAUUUGGUUGAUCCUGACGGUUACGAUUCCACAGAUGCAACCAGCUAGGGUUUCCAGGUGGAGAGCUUCGUCUUAGCCGCAUCAGUUAGUUGAGAUAGCUAGAGAGUAACAGAGCUGUGCCUUGUGCUAGGGUUUAUAAGAUUGAUAUUUGAUAACGAGCAUCAUAGCCUCUGAUAUAUCUCUCUCGAAAUGGCGGGUUUCUCUGUUGACGGAAGUGGGUUGAACAACGGUGCUUCGAAGAAGAGGCAACGUCUUACGUUGGCUUUGACGACGAGGAAAUCUACCGGUGAUACUGAGGAGAAGAAGAACCGCACGGCGACGCUGCUUGAUCUGGAUGUUAUCGACUGUCCCGUUUGCUUUAAUACUCUGACCAUUCCCAUUUAUCAGGUUAUUUUUCUCAUAUGUAUCUACCUCAAAUGCAUUUAUCCUCUCACUCAUAAUGGUAAUUCAAUGUUUUCUGAAUGUUACAUUGUUGAUUGAUGAACCAGAGUGUUUUUUAUUUAUUUUUUAUAGCUAGAAUUUCACAGCCUUUGAUAUGCUAACAAGAGGAAAAUAUUGCAUGAAAUGGAUGAUGAAAAAGAAAAAAACGUGUUGAUUCUGAGGAACUGAGUAUACAUAACCUGAAAAUUGUAAAAUACUAUGUGGAGUAAAAUUUAGGGUUAUAUCAACAUACUUAAUGGAUGAUUGUGCAUUCUAUGAAUAUAUCAUAUUAACCAUCAGUUGAGAUUUUUUUGUUUUGUUGUGAGCUUGCAUUUUGGCUUAUUCAAUUCACCUUACAGUUUAUCAUUUUCAAUAUUUUCUUGCUCAUGUUAUGCUCGAUCCGAAUGUACUGAAAGUUAAUAAAUAUGUACAAGCCAGGUAUAUCAUUGACGUGUCUCUUUAAUUAUAUUUCAUGAAGUCUUUGUUUUAAAAAAAAAAUAUUUGAUCUCUUUUGGCAUUCAGUGCGAUAAUGGUCAUGUAAUAUGCUAUACUUGCCAUAAAAAGUUGAGGAAGAAAUGUGCAACAUGUUCUUUACACAUUGGUUCCCGCAAUAGAGCUAUGGAGCAGGUUCUUCAACACCUUAGAGUUCCAUGUCCAAAUUCAGAAUUUGGAUGCCCCAAGAAUGUCACGUAUGAUGAAAGAUCAAGACAUUUACAGCAGUGCGAUUUCACACAAGGUCCUUGCCCUUUUAACCGAUGCAACUUUACCGGCUCUUACGAGGAUAUAUAUGUACACACCAAUGCUGAACACCUCAAGUCCUUGGACAUGUUUGAAUGUGGAAAUCCAGUGUUUAUACACCCCGAAAGUGGUGAGAGGGUUGUUCUCAAGGAACAGACUACAGAAGGAGGAAGAAAACUUGUGGUUGUGGAGUGUUUCACCACGCCACAAGGUCGAAUAAUCUAUGCUUACUGUAUUGGACCUAUGGUCCCAAGAACACAUGAGUUCUCAUACAGCUUAAAGUUGUAUUCAUCAAACGGUGAUCGCUUGUGUUUUGAAUCAAGUCUGAAACAAGUUCGUCAAGUGAGCGGUGAACAACCAGAUGAGCAUUUUAUGUUUGUUCCUUCACACAUGUGCCCUGAUUACAAGUUGCAUAUAUGCAUCAACCGGAAGACUUAUUAGGAUCAUAAAGAAGCGACUACAUCAUCUCUUAUCUACCCGAUGUUCUUAAUUUAAUAGCCAUAUGUUUGAAAAAAGGGUUCUUGACUGUUUAAACUAUUUCUUUUUGGAAAUUUUCACAAUCGGAUAUUCUAAUGCAUUCUCCGUUCUUGUUUUUUUUUUGGUAUAUAAAAAAUGAAAUGUUUUGGUAUAAGUUGUUUGUACUGGACGUAUCACAGAUGAUGAAAUGAAAUGUUUUACAAGCCCAGUAGCUAAGUAGCUCAAUAAAUACAUGGAGCGGGUUCUUGAACUACUUAGAGUUCCAUGUCUUAGUGGUAUUAAAGGUGUGAAUUUGAUCCAAAUAGAGAAACUUGAAACUAUUCAAGUGGUAAAUUUAAAAAGGUAAAUUGAUUCAACAGAAACAAAAUCACAAAAAUAAGUUGUGCUUUGAAUUCUGUUAAUUGUUAUUAAAAACCGUUGGUGUGUCUGCGACCGCGACUGCUCUAUACCAAACCAAAUGAUAUAUUUAAUAAGCUUUAGAGAUAAGAUAAACACGUAUUUCUUCUAUAUCACAUGAUAAAUAUAUUGUCGAUUUGUGAUUAGAGAGAAAGCGACUGAGCAUUUAAAGUUGCAAGCAUGUGCUCGUGUGUUCGUGUGCUCGUGUGUUCGUGUGCUCUUAUGUCUCUACUUCAUAAUAGCAAUGUAUGAAUCAAAUUAACUUUGAGCAAACAAGAUAAAAAACAAAAAAAAUGCGCCUCGUGAGUUGUUUGAAUUAGUCAAAUUUGACUGUGGAACCCUUGGAAGAUUAGUGCCAUAUAAUUUGUUGAUAAAUCAAAUAUCUCAAGCUGGUUUAAUCUUGUUCCCUUGAAUUGAACCAAAACCCGAAAUUAUGUAAUGGUUUGUAAAGAAUUGAACCGAGUCUGAAUCAAACCAAACCGGAAUAAAGUGUACAUGGAUGGAGAAAAGGACGCAAAGAAAAUCAUAUACAAAUAAACGAAUGAUAGAAGAAGCGUCUUCGAACAGUUUGUAAAUCUGUAUUUUCCUAUUGUCUCUAUUUGCCUUUUUAACUCCCACUCCCAUUUUCCUGGCGCGUGCUUUGUUCUUUCCAACUUCUCUUCCUAUUUGAAGAAUAAAAUGUUCCAAUUAAAAUUUAUAAGUGGAUUUGUGUGGACUGAGCAGCUGACAAAUUUGGUUAUAUAAAGAAAAGUAUAUGAAUUGUUAAUUAUUUUAAGACUUUAGAGUAUUCACUGUAUUUUUGAAACACUGAAUUGUCUUUCUUGCAAAAUUGGACGUACCUUCUAAAACAUAUCUUUCAUUUGUAAUUUUGUAUGGUUACAUGAGCAUAUUGGUUUUUUUUUUUUUUUUUUUGAACAUCUUUUUUUUUUUUGAACAUCACAUGAGCAUAUUGGUUACAACCCAUUCCAGUAAUAUGAAGUCGGUUUUGGGUUUAAAAGCAGUGGUAGAAAAUUGUCACUAUAGUAUUCUAAACCAUUCAUCUAGUUAUAUAAUAUGUAUCAUUAACAAAAAUAUUAAUAUUUUUAAAAGUAUCUAUGAUAUACAUUAAACGAUUUAAGUGUCGAAAAUCUGUCUAAUUUUGUCUACUUAAUCUAUCAAAGACUCAUAGUUAAAUCCACGAUUUGUUACAUUAAUUCUUCUUUUCUUUUAUUACAUAUGCAUUCUAACAAAUUUGAAUCCAGAUUAUAAUAAAUAUUUAUUUAACGAAAUCGUACUAUUUUAUUUCAUAAUUAACACCAAGUGGGCGCGUGGAUCGAAUCAUAAAUGUCAUUUUCAAAGGACUUCAUCGAACCAUCGCCACCAUAGAACACAACCCUCUCUCUCUAAUUAAAUUGAAAAAUUAAAUUAAAAUAGCAUUUGAGAGAGAAAAUCAGAAAACAAAGCAAAAGAAGAAGAAGAAAGAAGAAACCCAAAAAACUUUUUGAUUGCUUCCUAUUCUUCUUCAGGUCUGUCUCUCACCUUUUGCAGAUUCCAACGUCCGACGUGGUUUCGCCGGCGUCCGCGUCAAUUGGUUCCACCGAGUCAUGGCCGAGUUGACUCAGGCCGAUGUUGUUUACUCGCCUCGGUCUCUUCAAGUGUGGAAGACUUUGGUGAACUGGCUCGCGUUUUUCUAUCAGAUCUUCCUUCAGAUCCUUCGUGCCGUCGGUUACCAUCCUCUUCUCUCCUCCUCUGCUAAAGCCUCCGCCGAUGGUUUCAAACCCUUACCGGCCAUCGAGUUACUCGACAGGGCGGUGGAAUCUCCCACCACCGUAGAAUUGGAAAUCGCCUCCUCCACGACCUCUUGCGCCCAAGGCGAACGCAGCCGCUUCCAGAGACUCAAGGUUUGUUUUGAAUUCUCGUUUUCUUCUUCUUCUGCUUCUUCUUAUCCAUUGGUCAAAGUCUUCUGGAGUUAGUUUGAUUUUGACAUUUAUGCUUUAAGAAAUUUGCUCCGUGGAAUUCAGAAUCUAUGAACUCUUAUUGACUAAGAGUUACGAGGCUCAAAAUUUGGACUAUGUUAGUAUGAUACACAACCAUUGUGUUCCAUUUUCAAAUUUUGAGACGCCAUAGUUCUUCUACGGCCGGACGUCAUCGUUCAUAAGUAGAUGAAAUCUGUUUGACUUGGGCACGCCUGAUGUAGUUAAGAAGUUGUAAACGUUGUGCUAGUCUAAGAGUUUGUUUUAUGAAUGGUUUCAGUAGGAAAGUGUAGACUUGAAUUGGACUUUCAUAUGUUUUCUUGUGAUACUCAAGUCUAUAGUUUAAGCUCACAGAUUUAUGCAUAUUAUAUGUUGAUGGAAUUACUUUUGUAGAUGAGAUAAGUGCUUUUUCUCCAUUCUCUAUAUCCUGACAUGAGUAUUAAUCAUAUUUGCAAGCCUUGUUGAAAGUAAAGAGUAUGGGUUAAUGGAUCAGACUUCUCCGAAUUAUAUUCUUUUCAAUAUUGCUUAACUUUCUGAUAUAGUUAGGCCAUCUGUUCUUGUACUAUUCGUACAUCGAUAUCUCUACUUAUAUUUGACUUGUGAAACAUUUAUACCUGUUGAAAGCUUUUCUCUAAGGACCUUUAAGUUCUUAGUUAGGUGUAUCCUCUGGCAAAGUCUGGAAAGCUUGCUUUGUAGUUAGUGGUAGUAUUAAGAGUAGUCUGAUAACUGAAGAUGUCUUUGCAGGUAGUUCUCGACUUGGACGAGACGUUGGUGUGUGCAUAUGAGACGUCUAGUCUACCUGCUGCUUUACGCAAUCAAGCCAUUGACGCCGGAUUAAAGUGGUUCGAGCUGGAGUGCGUGUCAUCAGACAAGGUUUCUUCCACAACAUUUUCUCGAGUUAAUAAAAUUCCCUGUUGAUUUGUCCGUUUUAUGACGCGGUUCCCUCUUGUGUCUGAAGGAAUAUGAUGGGAAACCUAAGAUCAAUUACGUCACGGUGUUUGAGCGUCCAGGAUUGCACGAGUUCUUAGAGCAACUUAGCCAAUUUGCAGAUCUUGUACUGUUUACUGCUGGUCUUGAAGGUCUCUUAAUUUACUUGUCAGUUUUAUCCUCUGUUCCCAAAUCCAUGCUCAAAUUUUGUUAUCCUAACAUUCAUGUUUCCCACCUGCAGGAUAUGCUAGACCGCUUGUGGACAGAAUAGAUACCAGGAAAGUACUCAGCAACCGACUUUAUCGACCUUCAACAGUCAGCACGUAAGUUAUCAUAUAUUUCGGAUACUCUGUUUUAUCACUUAGAAAUUCGAUUUUGUUGUAGGUUAUUGAGAUUUUGAUACAUUUGUGUGCUAUUCGUAAUCAGGCAAUACAGAGAUCACGUGAAGGAUUUGCUGAGCACAUCAAAAAAUAUGUGUAGGACAGUAAUCGUUGACAACAAUCCUUUCAGCUUUUUAUUGCAACCAUCAAAUGGGAUUCCAUGUAUUGCGUUUUCCGCGGGGCAACCAAAUGACACUCAGGUCUCUAUAAUUCAUUACUCUUCUCAUACAUUUCUUAACCCUUCAGGUUAUUAUUACUUUUGAGAACUAAUCGAAAUUAUCAAACGUGAAGCUUUUGGACGUUAUUCUUCCACUUCUGAAGCAACUUUCUGAGGAAGAUGAUGUAAGGCCGACACUUUAUGAUCGGUUCCGCAUGCCUGAAUGGUUUGAGAAGCAAGGCAUACCACCGUCGUGCUGGAAUACUUAACCGGGUUAAGUGGAAAGUAAUGGCUAAAACCAAAAUAUUAGAAAUCUCUGGUCCUCACAAAAAAGACCAAGGACUUGUGUUUGGUACAGUAGUUCCAGUAAUGAAAAACCUGAGGAGAAGGAAGGUACAGAGAUUACCAUUCGUAUUGUUUAUAAUCUAUGGUAGAUUCCUUUUAAAAGAUCAAAUUUGUUACAUAUUUAUGGUUUCAUGUAAUAGCUUCCUCUGUAAUUUUGUUAAAGAUCAUUCAUUAUUUUUUCUUUUUCGGGUUGGUUCGGUUUGUAUAUACCGAGUCAUGGAUCAAACCGAAGUAGAAACUGGGUCUGGUAUAAUCUAAAGGGAUUCAGGAAUGUGAGUAACUGGGAUUCAUGCAUUACUGAUUAGUGAUUACACAUUUGGAAGAUAUUCGAAAAAAAAAUCAAUUAUUAUUGUAUGGUUCAAAUCUCUUAGUCGCUAACCACGAAUCAUAGAGUUGUUACUUGUAAUUCUUUGGCCAAUACUGCCUAAUUUUUUUGUAACUAGAAUAUAAAUUUACAGAUAAUAAUAUAUUAUCAUUAUAGGAAAUUUAUUAUGCUUGAUAUGAGAUCAAUUUCCAUUCUAAUCUAAUUGCUUAUUAUUUUUGAAUAAAUAACUCAACCCCGCAUAAUGUUAGACCAUGAAGAUUCAAUUUACUAUAUAAUAUACUUAAAUCUUCAAAAUAUUGCAUCCGCAAUCUUAGAAAAACGGCAAUGAUUCUCUUAUAUGGUGUAUAUUUACUAUUUUUUUCACAGGAUCCUGCACUAAAGGUAUAUUUGUCUUAGAUCGAAAUUCUGAAUUGAGUUGAAAGUCAUGUCAGGAUCCAGCGAAAAGCAUUUUGAAAAAGAUUGUCAAUGUUCCUAAUCUUACCUAGCAAACAUUAUUACUCCCUCUCUCCUAAAUAAUAAAAUAUUAAUGUUUGUUGAACACAUUUUACAGGUCGAAAGAGUUCGUGAAUUAUAUUACAAGACCUGUCAUGUUUCUUUUUCGUAUAAUUAAAUGAACUUGGCAACUAUUCUUUUAUUGUGUGGUCGGCCUUGUUAUGUUUGUUGUUAAAAAAAGUAUAUCGUUUUGAGCUGUGCAUAGACUUCUAAGGCUUCUUCACAUCUUAAUUAAGCCUAACUACUCCCAUACUUUUUUUUCUUUUAAUUUGCUGAUUACUUUAUUUUAUUUUACAGUAUGUUAUUUGAAUUUCCGCUGGAAACCAAUAUCAAUGGAAUAGCGCGUGAUGGGAUUUCGUUAUUGCAUUGAGAGAUACAUAAUUACAUAUACAUUAGUUUGAUAAAAUGUGAGGUUAAAAAAAGUAUAUGCCCCCGGAAAUAAUCAGAUGUUUCAUUUUUUUUCUACGUUUAGGAAAUUUAUUUCUUCUAGUUUAUUAGUAUCUCUUUUGAGUUUUAGUUUAGUGUCGAUAUAAUUUUUCGAACGCCUAUCCAAGAUUUGUGGACUAGUCUUGCAUGCAUUUUCUUAGAAAAAUAAUAACACAAAAUUCAUUAAUGUAACUUUGCUUUUAUCUAUUAUAUAAAGAUUCAGUUGAGUCUCACAAACUUGACACAUCAGCACUCAUUUGAAUGACACAUCAGCUCAUUUAUUUGUUAUUUAAAAACUAUAGUGAAACUCUAAUUAAUUUAAAUUAAUUACUUUUAUAUUCAUUUUUCUGUGCACUGAUUUAUUUACCAUCAUGGGCCUCAUGGCUUUUUGACUCCCAUUUUUGAUGCUUCCUAUUCUAUGCUUCAAACGUUGUCUUAAAUAUUGGUCACUCAUGUUUCAACGCAUAAAAAAUAAUCAGCAAAUAUAGAAGAGAAGACAUGGAAAGAAGUAAAUAUUACCUAAGAUUUUUUAAUAAAUCUCUAAUCUACAGCUUCCAUGUUGUAACUUAUGCAAAUUUCUAUAUAGAAGCUUACGAAAGUGAAUGUUGUUCACAAAUCUAUGGUCUAAGAUUUAUUUCUUGGCCAUGGGCAGAGACAUCUACAUUUAAUACCAUCGUUUGUGUUCAUUUAAAGGAAAAGAAGAAUUUUGCUUUAAAAAAGAAGAUUUUGUAUGAUGGUUUCGAGAAUUCUGUGAAGAGUAAAUAGCAAGACAAAAACUAUAAUAAUAAUUUCUAAAAUAAUAAUAAUUCGGCGACGAAGCUAUAAUAAUAAUUUCUAAAAUUUUUAAGUUAAGCUGGUGUAAGUUAUCUAUUUUAUUUAUUUUUGUUUUAGAAAAAAUUUUAAGCGAGGAAAAUAAUACUCUGAAAGACCUAUUACAUCCAUUAGUAAAUUUUUUAAUAUCUAUGUUUUUACAAGAAAUAAUAAAAAUCUCGUCUCAAUGAAUUAUAAUUUAUAUCAUUUUAUGUGCAUGAAAUGUAGCUUGUUUUAUCUCCAUCAGAUCUUGGAGUUGGAGUAUUGGUUCUCCCAAGUACUGCAAUAAAAAGCCACUGGAGCGGCAAAAGCCAAAUCCGAUGGUGAAAAUGGAGAAAGACGUAUUUGGUAAACUUUUACGAUAGCCGGUCAUGCUUAUCUAAAGUUCCAAACUCUACCUGUGAUGCAAAAGAUAAUAUAUAGUAUGAAAUAUCACAGAUUUUCAUGCUAUAUUCAUUUCCUAACUUUUCUAAUUUUAGUGGAGAUUGUGACGGUCUUUGCCAAUAAGAAUAGGAAAAUUUUAUGGAAUAAAGUUAUCCAAUUAUUUUGAGAAUAUACCUCUUAGGUUCCUAAUCAUAAUAUUUAGUAUUUGCUGGAUUCUCAUAUCUUUGUUUAUGAUGUUCAAGAUAAUUUUCCACGUUUAAUUGAAGACAACGUUUUGUUAGUAGAGAAAAUUUCUGAUAAGAUUUCGUAAAACCAAAGAAAAAAUCGAGAAAAAAACUAAUUAAAAAAAAUCAUUUAAAAAAAAUAAGUUAACAACUAAUCUCUCUAAAUAUAUAUAUGACCAGUCCAAAAAAACCAAAAAUUUAAAUUUUUUUUUAAAAUCACCAAAAAUCUAAAUUAAAUUUUAGUUUUUUUUUUGUUUUUGAUCGAUAGUCUAGAUACAUAAAAUGGUGUGAUUACCUAAAACGAAAAUAUCGAGUUUAUGUAAAUAAUAAUUUGUAGGCGGACACAAGCGCUUCUUGCUAGAAUAUUUGCCUUUGAAUUCUUCAGACGUGAGAUGUGUGAUAUAGUGAAAGAAUUGUAAACUGAAAUUUAAGGAUAAAACUAAACUUCAGCUUUAAACAUUAUAAAAAUUUUAAAAAGAAAACCCACGCAUAUGCGUGGGUACUCAUUAAAAGGAACGUGAUGCGUGAUUAUUGACAUGAAAACAAUAUAAGGGGAUGGUUUGACAAUUUUGAACAAUAAAUUGAUUAAUUACCUUAAGUCCCCUAAGGCCCUAACUACUAUGUAGUACGGUUUGACAUUAUUUGUCGCAUAUGUUCCUUUUUUGUUGGUGUUAAAAUAAAAAUGUUCCUUUUUGGAAUUGGACUAUUGCAACGAAUACCAGCACUCAUAAUUAUAUCUAAACAAGAGAGUUUAUGAAAGCUGUAGCCUAUAUGAAUCACACAGUGCGGUUGAAACACAUUUAUAAAAUAUAAUUUUUUAAAAAAAAAAAGAAAGAAAAGAUAUUCGAGGACGUGAAAGUUCAUGCAAAAGUAUAUAUGUGUGUGAACACUUUUCUUGAUAAAAAAAGCUAUGUGUGUGCAUUUAUGAUAAGUACCUUAGACAGAAUUGAAGAAUUGAAUUUAUACAAGUAAAAACUUAUUAAUGAUGGUUCUGUGGAGAAAAUCAUUGAGGGAAAAUGUGGAAAGAUUGCAGAAAAUGCAGAGAAGGCUAGUCUCCAUCUAAUAUCUAUUUUGGGUUUUAGCUUUGACUAACUUUUUUUUUGGUAAGGUGCGAACAACUGACCAGUAGUUUGAGAUAAAUUUCCCCCGUCCAAAACUUCCUGCAAACUGGAUAGAACAAUCUAUCUUACUUGAUAUUAAGGUCGUUGUGAAUAAAUGGUUUUUUCUUAUAGAGUGAACAUUUUAAUUAGUUUCGCGCAGAAUACAAACAAACAAGAAGAACAACGAAUAAGAUGAAGUAGAGAAGUUUUUUUUUUUUUUUUUAUUCAAAGAAGUAGACAAGCUUUUUUUCUUUUUUUUUUGUUUUGUUUUGUUCAAAGAAGUAGAGAAGCUUAAGUUUUUAAAAA
Molecule: long non-coding RNA, 77664 nt
Filed under: Eutrema salsugineum
Lineage: Eukaryota; Viridiplantae; Streptophyta; Magnoliopsida; Brassicales; Brassicaceae
Description: long non-coding RNA (ESAL_LNC001288)
Source: RNAcentral